This 51918-nucleotide long non-coding RNA is filed under the name Setaria italica (foxtail millet). RNAcentral describes it as "long non-coding RNA (SITA_LNC005969)". The record is from RNAcentral. Lineage: Eukaryota; Viridiplantae; Streptophyta; Magnoliopsida; Poales; Poaceae.
GCGCGGCAGGUGUGUUUCGCCAAAAGGUGUAAACCCUAGGGCGCCCCCACCCCUCUAUUUAUAGAGGUUCCUGACGGGCCUCUGGAUCCGAGGCCCAUUAGUACUUCUAAACCUAAUCCAACUCGGAUCUGAUCCGAAUUGGGCUUCCAGCCCCUUAAGUGUGUGACCCUAUGGGUUCGGAUACGUAUAGACAUGGCUCGAGUACUCCUACUCGGCCCAAUAGUCGGUAGCGGCCUCUAGCAAGACGUGCCAACUCCUAUACGCACACGAAGAUCAUAUCAGACGAACCAUCACAACAUAAUAUACAUGCUAUUCCCUUUGCCUCACGAUAUUUGGUCUAGCUUCAAGCCGACCGCUCUUUCUCGAUCCUGUGAUUCGGAAUCCCUUUGUAGGUUAACUCUUAACCGUACGUAGCAUGGCCAUGCAUUUUCGGAUCCGAUUACUCGAGGGGCCCAGAGAUAUCACUCUCAAUCAGAGAGGGGCAAAUCCCAUCUUGAUUGACCAUGUUUCAUAGCAUGCUUCUUGACAAACCCGAAAGCUACCUUUAUAACUACCCUAUUACGGCGUAGCGUUUGAUAGCCCCUAAGUAGGUCGAUCCACAUCUAGAAUACAUGCGACAAUCUCAGGUCUAAGGACAAAGCGUAUAUGUUGUUUAAAGAGAGAACUACUUCUCGUGUUGGGUCAGUCCUAGCACAUGUCUCCACAUGUGUCCACAUUAUUAGUUCAACAUCUCCAUGUCCAUGACUUGUGAAACAUAGUCAUCAACUAAUACAUGUGCUAGUCUAAUAUUCAUGUGUGUCCUCACAUGAACUCCGACUAGGAACAACUUUAGAAUAAUCAUACAAGUAAAGAGUUUCACAUACAAUUCACAUAAUUGCAAAUCAAUUCAAGUAGCCUUUAAUGGAUAUUCAAUGAACACAAUAUACAAAUCAUGGAUACAAAUAGAAUAUCAUCAUCUCUAUGAUUGCCUCUAGGGCAUACCUCCAACAGUAUCCAUAAUCUUAAUCCACUCCGUUGACUCAAACACUUGGAAAUACGAGUCUUCAAUGCCCCUAGAGUAGUUAGAUGAUCUAGCUUACUCUACAACUUGAAGACAAUGUGCCAGACUCUCCUCUUGGUCAUUCUGCAGACCAUUGGUACCAGACCAGUUAUAAGACUCAUUCGACUCCGGGACAAACUCCACCAGAUCACCAAUAGUUAAAACCUGAGCACAAAGCCCAGACAAAAAUUAUUACAACACUCAACGAAAUGGUUCGUUCAUAUAUGACAAUAAAACAUUUAUUGUUCAAACCGAAUACAACAAUCAAUGGCAAUGAAAUAAUUGUUUAACAUUCUACCUCUUUGUCAUUGGGGUUCGAAGAAGGUGCCGACGUAGUAGGAUUGGUUGACAGAGCAGUGUCAUCAGGAGCUAGAGAUACAUGAUUAUUUGGAGGAGGAGGAGCACUAGUAGGAGUUGCAGCAGAGCCUUCCGAUGUGCGAUAUGCUUGGCUAGAAGGAAAUGGCUCCACAAAAAGUUCAACCAUAUCCUCGUUUGAAGGGAAUGAUCCACCAAGCAAACUACGGUGAGGUGGUUCACGAUCCCCGUAGACAAUGUGGUGUAGGGACACAUUACACAAAUUGACUCCAAGACUAUCAGCAAUUUGGUGUCCCCAAAUUCUAUGUGGAGCUCCCUAAAACAUGACCUGAAUGUACUCUUUGCUCUCAGGGAUGUACACAAUAGCUUAGAAAACUUGGACCCAAUCCUCAAUAUACUGAUAAUUCCCUGAGACCAAAUCAGCCAAUCUGGGUAGUUGAUCAAAGUAUCCCUUAAUAUCCUCUCCUCCUGCGGCCAUGUUCAUAUGAUUCCAUUUUAUAAUCUUGUGCUCAAAUAGUUUGGUGGAUAGCUUUUUGUAGUUAUAGUAGAAAGUUUCUUGAAUGACAUUCCUAAAUUUUGGUUCGCCCCGUCUAUCAUGGGAUUUUUCAAAUCACACAUCCUUAGACACAAAUCGAAGCCUAUUAAUCAUUUGGUAGCUAUGCAUGCUCAAGUCAAUUAUCCUUAGCGGUUCUUCUGGUGGAGGUAAAGAGGUACCUCAUUUUGCUCCCUAGGGUCGGGCGCAGGAAACUCAGCAGAGCGGGGCGGCUGACGCCGCGUAGAUUGUUGUCACCUGGAAGGUGCCAAGGUUGACCCACCCCAUGUUCGGCAGGAUUGCGCUGAGGUUGACCCACCCUGUGUAUGGUGGGAACAGGCAGGAGAAGACUCUCGUGUAAUGGACCUGCCCCUUUGCCACAUCUAAGCACUAGACGUGCCUGCAGAUUCACCUGCGACUUCCUUUGUCGCUUCGAUGGAGGUGGGUCAAGCGCCUUUCCAUUUCUCUUGCCAUCAUCUCGGCCCAUCUACAAGAUCUUUCUCUAAUCAGCUACCGCAAUGAUCACAAAAAAUUUAAUGAAUCCCCCUUUCAACAAUGAAUACCUAUGAAAUCGGAGCGAGCAGCGGCAGAUCGCAGUAGAGGCGGAGCGCAGCCCUAGCGGUGCGGCUGCAGCAGGUGGUCGUGGGGGCAGCUGCGGCAGCGGUUAAACCCUACCAAGGGCGAGCGCCGCAAGUGACCUUGAGUAAAUGGGGAACGGCGGGUCAGCAAGAGUAACAUGAUGUUGGAUAAAGUCAUAAAGGUAUAGUGCGCACCCAGAGAAGAAAAUGGGUAGGAGUUUCCUACCCAACCUUGUUUUAGCAUAAGGAUGUUUUGGUGUUUGAGAAUACACCGAACCGGAUAAACAACCAGCCAAAUAGGCGUUCUAAGAUUUUGGAAGUCAUCACAGGAUGUUCCGGUGUUUGACAAUACACCGCACCGAAUAAACAUCCAGCCAAAUGGGCAACGGAAGAUUUUGAAGACAUCACAGGAUGUUUCGGUGUUUUAUAAUACACCAAACUGGAUAAAUAGCCAGCCAAAUGGGUGUUCAAAGAUUAUGGAAGGCGUUACAUGAUGUUCCAGUGUUUUACAAUACAAUGAGCCAUAUCAAUAACUAGCUAAGUGCGCUUUCAAACAUAUUGAGAUGCAUCAAAAGGAUUUUCCCACAACUACUAUGAUAAAAGGUCUACAUGCACAUAUCGGUUCAUAUGUUAUACAACAAAUGAGUUCAGAUCGGAUCGACUAAAAUAUUAAUUGAUUUCACAUCCUAGCCCUCGUUACUAUCAAGUGUAGGAUUUUCAUCUGCAUCAUGGUAUUUUUAGUUAGUCUCGUCCUCCUCUCAUCGUUAGAAUUGAAUCCGUUCACAUCAGGUAGAACCUGCUGGCGAAUGGAAGUAACUUGAGCUACUGGAAUGAUAGUCUCGUCCUCCUCCUUGUCAGUAAUAGACACCGGAGCCUCCAAACCAUCACCAAUACCAUCAUUUAAGGUUUCUUCAAUUACAUCAUCUUGAUAUGCAAGGACCAUGCCACUGGGCAUUGUUUCCUGCUCAGUUUCAUUAAAUCUCCACAAAUUCCUGUGCUCAAAUUUUUGCACCACUCUCUGUGGGUCUUGUAGCAGGGUGUCUGGCAAGUAAAAGACCUUUGUUGCUCAUUCAGCAAAAAUGUAGGAAUCACUUUUGUACCAGUACCUUCCAGUAUUGAUGCUUGUGAAGUACCCAUCCUUUCUAAUCCUCGGUUCCUUCUUGGUCCCUCCUAGAUCAUACCAAUCAUAGUGGAAUAAUACAAUAGUUUGAUUUAUGGCAUGCCCUGAUGAGUUAUACCGCAGCUCAAUAAUUUCCUUUAUACAACCAUAAAACUCAAAUGGCUCACUAUUAUGAAAACCUGCAGCCAUAAUCCCACUAUUUUGUGUCUUCCAAUUUUUCUCUCGGGCAUGUGUGUGGACACCGCCAACAAGACAUGCUGAAUAUUUUCUUCCUCGUUUGUCUGGUAAAGCUGAUAAUGCACAUAGGUCCUCGGAGACCUCUCCUUCCGGCAUCUUUUCAAUCUGUACAACAAAACCUUAUUUUUUUAUAUAUAUUUUUAUAUAUAGGUCCUCGCCAGCUAAUAUAAGUUUGUUCCCAAAAAGCAGAAAACUUACAUGUGGUUUAAACCAUCGGGCAAAUUCUUUCUAAAUUCUAUGAUCAAUAACCUAGUAUGACACACCUUUCGCUUCUAUUUGAUCCUCUUAUAUCCUGCAAAAACACAUCCAUCUGAAAAUUAGACGAGAAUAACUGCAGUAUAAUCAUUGCAUGAUGGAUUACGUACCUGAUAUAUGGCUCAACCUCUUCGCAAUUGCGUAGCACAUACCAAACCAGCUUGUCAUAAUCCGAAUCAAGGUAAAAUCUUCGCAAUGGCUCCACCAGCUAGUCUUCGCUGCUCCAUGUACAUCAACAUUGUGCUGGAAACAAGAUAAAUUGCCUUCUCGUAACAAAUCAACAUUCUCUCUGUUCCUGCCCUCCUGAUUAUUGGGAUAUCUAUUUUCAGUUUGUUCAAAACAUCAAACUUCAGAGUUUUGCAACAUAGUUGCCGAAAGAAGUUUCCUAAUUUCGAAACAGCUGAGUGUAUCUCUUUAUCCAUUAAACCUCAAAGGGAAGCAGGCAAAUCCUUUGGAGUAGGAUAUGAAAAUCAUGAGUUUUCAGUAUUUGGAGUAGGAUAUGAAAAUCAUGAGUUUAUCCAUCAGCGGUAAUACAUCUUGAUAAGUUAGAAGCAUAUCCAUCUCAAAACUUCACCAGACUUAUAAAAUCACAGAAGACCUUCUAUUUCUUUUUACCCAUUAUAUAUGGAGUUUUGGCAUUUUGAAUGACUCCCCUUCCAUAGUAUUCAACAUGUGUAGAUGUGGUCUAAUGCCCAUCUCUUCCAAAUCAACCCUAGCAUUGAUCGUGUCCUUUGUCUUCCCAGCAAUUUUAAGCAAUGUUCAUACGGUUUUCGCAUAUAUUUUUCUCAAUGUGCAUGACAUCAAGAUUAUGUGGCAGCUUCAGAGUUGUUCAAUACGGCAAGUCAAACAAACUAACCCUUGGGCUUCAACACUCUCUAGGUUCCCGCUUCCUUUUCUGACCUUGAGGAGGCUUUCCUGGUUUAACAUCUUUAACCUUCUCCAGUUGCUGCUGAAGCUCCUUAGUAGUAAAUUGCUCUGGCCUCUCUCGGUUUUCAGUAUUACCAUCAAAAUUUGCUUUCAUUCUUCUCCAUGGAUGGUCAGUUGGAAGGAAACGAUGAUGGCCAACAUAACAUAUCUUGUUCUUCAAUCUCCUUGAGCAACAAUCCUUGUCACAACGCACACAGGCAUAAUAACCUUUCGUGACUCACCCGCCAAUGUGCUUAGUGGUGGAUAAUCAUGUAUGCACCAAAUAACUGCAGCAUGCAGUUUAAAGGAUUGUUGACUACAAGCAUAGUAUGCAUCGACACCCUUCCACAGGUCCAAUAGCUCAUCUACGAGAACUCGGUCUAGAGAUCAAUAAUGCCAUCAUGAAGGUUGAUUCUUCCAUGGAUACCCAUGGUGGCAUGUUAUACGGUACAACAAAUAUUGGCCACAUACUAGAUGAGUUGGUCUUGUUGCCAAAUGGAUUCAAACCAUCGGUUGCAAGGCCAAGUCUAAUGUUCCUAGCAUCUUUUGCGAAUUUCAGCCAAUUUUUACUGAAGUUUUUCAUGCCUCACCAUCAGCUGGAUGACUAAGCUUACUGUCCACCAGUUGUCACUUCAACUCGUGCCAUUAUGCAUACUUUGCGGUUUUUGAUGAAAGAAACAUCCUCUUCAGCCUUGAAACCAGUAGAAAAUGCCUCAAGACCUUAUAAGGAACACACAUCUUUCCAUUUUGAAUAUGCUUCACAACACACUUGGCACACAUCAUGUUCCGCUAGAUCCUUACGACACAAUACACAAUUAUUCUUGCAAACAUGGAUAGAUUCAUAGCCGAGUCGCAUGGCAUGUAUGUACUUCAUUGCAUCAUCAUAACAUGUCGGAACACAUGCUCCUAGGAAAGCAAGGGAUACCACCUUCAGAAUUGUGUUGAAUGCAACAUUGCUGAUCCGAUAGAAAGACUUGAUAAGAAAUAACUUCACAACAAAUGUAAAUUGUGUAUAUUUAGAUCCUGGUGACACCUUACGAUUUAUAUGUUGUUUUAUACAUUCUAACAUUUUCCCUCCAAGCUCUUUAGCAUGGCACAUGUCGGAUAUCAUUUCAGGAAGUCCAUUUUUGGUGCCUUCAUCCUCCUCCAUACCCGAUAUGUGUUCAUUUUCUUGAACCAUUUCUUGAUCACCAUCAUCCUACAGAACUGCAUUAUCCACAAGCCUCUCAUCCAGCAAAAUUGCAGUUUCCUCAAUCCCAUCAUCCUGCAGAAUUGCAUUUUCUUGAACCCCAUUAUCCUGCAAAUUUGCAUUUGCGUGUACCCAAUCCUCGAGUAUUUCUCCAUGAUGGAUCCACCUAGUGUAGGUGCUUGCCAUCCCAUUCAAAAGUAAGUGCAGACUCACCACAUCUAUAGUACAUCUAGACUGAUUCAGGAAUCGACGACACGGGCAUAGUAUUUGUUCAUCAUCAGAGUAUCUACUCUUAACAAAUUCCACGAAAUCAUUGACCCCUUUCUCAUGCUUGGGGGUAAAUAGUCGACAACAGUGUAUCCAACAUAUAUCCAUCUGGGAAAUUUUGGCGAAUUCAACUCAAAAUUACUGACUAGAUUGAAGGACCUUAAUGGAAAAUGAAAUUUUGGCAAAAUCAACUCAAAAUUACUGACCAGAUUGAUGCGCCGCAACAGGAAGCACCAGAUUUUUGGUGCUGUAGGAUUGAGCCGCCGCAGGACGCGCAGAUCUCCACAAGAGUGCUCUGUCCUGGCUGCCUUCUCUCUGUUCUUCUUUUUUCCCAAUCACGGGAGCAUGGCAGUGGAUAAACUAUUUUUUGGUUGCAGCGCGAGCUUUUGUGCCGCCAAAUACCACACUCACCCGAAACUUACCUUACAUGUGGGACCCAAUCGCGGUAAAGACUUCCCAUUCGAUCGGUAGUAGGUUCGACCCACGGGAGGAGCACGUUUUCCAUUUUAAUUUACCACCCUAUUUAUCAUCUUAAACUUACAUAUGGGAUCCUGGUUGGUUUAUGACAUUUUCACGGAGCUUAUAUCAUCACAAAACCACCAUGUAACAACAAGUGACGAGUUCUUUUUAGCUACAGUGGCAACUUUUAUUACGUUCUGUAACUUUAUCACUAAAUUUGCUCGGAUAUGAAACUUUAUGACGUUUUCAACCAAAAAUGUCACAGAUCUAUGAUGAAAACAAAUGUGUUAAAAAAAUUUCAUCAUAGAUCAACACAUUUCUUGUAGUGUUCCAAGAAUAUAAUGCCUCCAAAUCUUCAGAGCGUGUACCACUACUACUAAAUCUAGAUCAUGAAUCAGAUAAUUCUGCUCAUGCUUCCUCAACUGUCGAGAGGCAUAUGCUAUAACAUGUCCCUCCUACAUAAGAACACAGCCUAAGCCUUGUCGAGAUGCAUCACAAUAGAUAUCAAAGCUCUUCUGCAUGUAUGGCAUGACUAGCACUGGAGCUGUAGUCAAUCUCUUCUUCAACUCCUCAAAACUAGCUUGAUAGGCUUGGGUCCACUUGAAUUCCUUUCCUUUCUCCAAUAGUGAUGUGAGAGGCUUCACUAUUUUAGAAAAUCCUUUAAUGAACCUACGUUAGUAUCUUGCAAGUCCAAGGAAACUCUUGACUUCUAUAACUAUCUACGGCGGCAUCCACAUUGGAACAUCCCUAACUUUGCCUGGGGCAAUUCCUCCAUUGAUGAUGACAUGAACAAGAAAAGAAACCUCAUUGAGCUAGAAAUUACAUUUGCUGAACUUUGCACACAAUUGAUUCUCCCUGAGCUUCUGAAGUACUAGCCUCAAAUGUUCCUCAUGCUCUUCCUCAUUCUUGGAGUAUAUCAAUAUAUCAUCAAUGAAUAGCACAACAAACUUAUCAAGGUACUCCAUAACACCUGGUUCAUCAGAGACAUGAAGUAGGCAGGUGCAUUAGUCAACCCAAAUGACAUGACUCUGUACUCAUAAAGCCCAUAUCUAGUAGUAAAAGCAAUCUUGGGAAUAUCUAAAGGCCUAAUCUUCAUCUGUUGAUAACCAGAAUGUAGAUCAAUCUUGGAGAAUACCUUGGCUCCUCUCAUCCAAUCAAACAAGUCUUCAAUGUGAGGCAAUGGAUAUUUGUUCUUGCUGGUCACCUCAUUAAGCAAUCUAUAGUCAACACACAUCCUUUAAGUACCAUCCUUCUUCUCUACAAAGAUAACUAGAGCUCCCCAUGGUGAUGAACUAGGGUGAAUGAACUCCUUAUCCAAUAAAUCCUUUAAUUGUUUCUUAAGCUCUUAUAAUUCAUCAACAGACAAACUAUAUGUAUGCUUAGAAAUAGGUGCGGCACCAGGUAAAAGAUCAAUAAUGAACUCAAUAUCUUGGUCAGGUGGCAUGCCUACCAGAUCCUCAGGGGGAACAUCUGGGAACUCACACACCACUCUGAUGUCUUCUAUGGCAAUAUCCUUUAGUUGAUUGACCACAAAAGCUAUUGCUGAUAGUAGACUAGCCACAAAUUCCAUCCUUUAUCCUUGAGGAUUUGUAGUAAGCAUCAAUCUCUUGGUACACUAAAUUACUCCAUCAAAUGUACUCAACCAUCCCAUUCCAAGGAUACCAUCAAUGCUAGUUGAUUCCAAAACAAUAAGGUCAACUGGAAAGUCUACCUCAUUUAUAUUUAUGUUGACCUUUGAACAAAUGUAGUUUGCUCUUAUCUGACCACCAAGAGAGUCUACUAACAUAGUCUUCUUCAUGGUGUACUUGGGUAAGCUAUGUCUUGAUGCAUAGUGAGAAGUAACAAAUGAAUGUGUGGCACCGGAGUCAAACAAGCCUGUGGCAGGUGCUGAGUUGAUAAAGAGCAUGUUAAGCAUGACCUCUUGAGCCUUCUGAGCACUCUCUGAAGUCACAUGGUUCACCUUACCAUGUAUGUAGUUCUGUUGUCCCAAAUUUUGUUGAGGUUGGUUUCCAUUUUGCACUUUCCAUCUUCGCCAGUUUCAACUCCUACCACCAUUACUGAAUUGCUUUUGGAGAUCCUGGGUAUCCUUCCUCGGGCAGUUGCUGGCGAAGGGACCAACUUCUCCACAAUUAAAGCAUUCAUUUCCCUUAGAGGUGCAAGGGGUACUGGUUUCCAUCGGGAUGUUAUUAGGUGUGAUAUGGUAGUCAUGUUGGAAGUUGGAGCUUUGAAUCUCCAGCUCGGGGUGCUCAAACACAUCAUGUUUCCUGGAGUAGAAUGAGGGGUCAGACUAUUGAGUGCAAUGUGGGCGAGUGUUACUGGUAAUUUUCUUCUAGGAUUCAAACUUCCUCUUCUUAUUCACCAACUCAUGACGCUUGUCCUCCACUAGUAGUGCCUUGUCCAUAAGAUGAUGGAAAUUGGGAAAAGUGUGUGCCACUAACUAAUACUAAAUCGAUCCAUUCAAGCCUUCUAGGAAGUGAUCUUACUUCUUCUCAUCAUUAUCCACCUCUUAUGGUGCAUAGCGAGAUAGCUCGAUGAACUUAUCUCGGUACUCACAUAUAGAUAUCCCUUCCUGCUUAAGACUAAGAAACUCCUUCUUAAGCUUGAUCACACUAGCUAGGAUGUGAUGUGCUAUGAAGUUAUUCUUAAACUCUAACCACGUGAUGGUAGAUGGGUCUGCAUGGGCACUUGAGUAGGAAUCUCACCAAUCUACAGUGUGUCCUUCUAGCCUUCCUGAAGCGUAUAGAACCCUCUCUUUGUCAUUAUACUAAGUGAUCUCAAUCUUCUUCUCUAUACUCAUGAGCCAAUCAUCAGCUUGCAGUGGAUCUGUUGAGUGAGAGUAGGUAGGAGGUUGAUGGCUCAUGAACUCCCUAUGCUUGUCCCUAGGCUACACAGGAGGUGGCUGGUUCACUUUAGCUUGCAAAUUGGCCAUAGUGUUGGCCAAGUUCUGCAGCGGUUGAGUUUGGGCUGCAAGGAACUGUUCCAUCCCUUCUAGUGGCACCUGGUUCUGUUGAGGAUCGGGGUUGGAAUUGCUGCUUCUCUGAUGGGGUUGUGUGGGCUGAUCAACUCCAAAUCCAGACCUAGUGUUCACCAUAUGAUUGUAAAAAUAUGAAACUCAGAUAGUUGUAGAUAGAGAUAAAUCAAGAAGAUAGGGCGAUAUGAAUUUCAGAUUAUGGCAAAUUUUGUUCAUGCUACUAAAUCAGGUGCAAAUAUCAAAAAGAAUAUCCAAAGGUGUUGAAACUUUCCUAGAACAUAGUACACAAAAUUCUAAAACUAACCCAACUAGAAUCACCUCAGUCAAAGGUCUCGAGCUCGAGAUAUGAAUUAAACAAAAUGAUUGUGCCAGCAGUAAUGAUAGAUUCUAAUUAUUUCAUAAACUUGUAUGUAUCUCUCUGUCAGAAUAUCCAAAACAUAUGAACCUUUGAUAGAAAAUCACCAAUUAAAUUCUGGAUCUAAUCCAACUAGAUUCAUAUCAAUUGGAGCUUUGCAGCUCUAGAUAUAGUUAAAAUAGUACAGUUGUGUCAGACAGUGACGCGAACAGAUUUGGCCUCACAAAACUUGCAUAACACAUAGAUAUAGAUAGAUAAAAAUUGUGCAAGAUUAAGGUUGAUUGAGACAGAAAAAAACCCAACCUAGUAACUUUCAUUACUAAAAACUAAUGUCGUUGUGGUCAUCACCCCACAACACACCGCACUCAUUACAAAGAACCAACUCAAGCAUUUAUCAUAAGAACAAGCAUUCCAAACACACUUUAACUUAAUAAACUAGAACACACUUGAAUUAAACAACAUUCAACUCUAUAGAUUAUAGUUAAUUAAAACUUAAAACUCCUAAAUUCUAAUAAGGAAGGUCUUUCGUUUGUAGAAGACAGGGCCAUUGGGUUCUUGAGGACGGUACUGGUGCGGGCCAUUUAAAGAGAGGAAAAAGUUAGAUGGAUUAGAACAGAUGCUAAUGAUUCCUUAAAGCAAGAGCAAGAAAGCAUAGAGUGAAUGGAAUAGCAAAAGUAUAAUAAAGAAACAAGUAGAGCAUUACCGAUGAGACCAAAGCAAUGAUAAGCAUAUUAAAGCAGAUUUAAAGCAAGAAUGAAGUAAGAAUGGCUACUAAAGCAUUAUAAUCCUUAAUCUCGACCAUUUUCUAACUAGGCUAACGUCCUACAGUCAACACAGCUCUAGUACCACUUCUAUCACACCCAGUUUUAAAGGCAAAAUUAGAUGAUGAAUUACAUGUGCGCCAGGAUCAAGUUUCACACAUGCAACAACUUCUAAAAGUACCACCAACAAUGCUAAAGCAUAAAGAGAGUAUUAAAUUUAUUACACGAUUGAUAUUCUUUAUAUCGAAUAGUAAAACGAGUCUUUAUUCUAGUAGUAGAACUUCAAUGAUGACAACGACUCCACAGGCAGUUGACUGGUGGCACACAUACGCCUAGAACUCCUUAAAGUCUUCAGGAACCUCCUCAAAUUAGUCUUGGUCUGAGCAGCAGUUUUAGCAAGGGUGAGUACACUUAUGGUUGGUACUCAACAAGCAUAGGGAAUGUAUAGUAUAAGGCUAUGCAACGAUAGGCUGAGAUUUAAUAGCAUGUCAGCAUUUUAAUUGGUUGGUCAAGUUUGGUUAGGAAUUACUAAGUAUAGGUUUAUACCACCCACAUUCAACAUGAACAUAAAUAAAUAUAAUAGCAAUAAAUAACAUCAAUUUAAUUCAGCUUCCCAUAGAUUAAUCGUAUGAGGAUCCAAGUCGCUCUAGACCAUCAGCACGGCUGAUCGAUCAGUUUUAGACACUCUGUAGAGGUUGUACAUCUUUACCCACAAGUCAUGUUUUCCAAAAUGCUCAGAUUAAUUACUCCCUUAAACACUUCCGAGGUGAGUGGCAUGGGAUUCACUAUGAGUCCUUUACAAACAUUCCCUAACAAUUUAUAACCCACUAAGGUUUCCUCACAAGGGGAUGAACCCUCCCAAAAGGGGUGCGUACACCCCUUGGCUGGACAAGCCAUCGGACAACCUAUGAACCCCUCUUGCCCUUUCGAUAAGACUAUCUCCCACUAGAGUUUCUAAUUAAUUAGCUAAGCCAGAGCCAUAUAGCCUUGUGGUUGCACUGUUUUCAUGGGUGGUCGCUCCAUGUUCCAAUUAACAUGAUGCUCUUUUACUAAGUGAAAGGUAUAGCAAAAGUGAAACAAGUUUAAUCAUUGGUUCAUUAAAACCACCACAUCCAACUUGAGCAACUAAGAAAGUACUACCUAGCAUAAAGUAACCCAAGUUGAUCACGGCAUAAGGAUUAAAACUAGGCAAACCUUAAAUAGGACCCAUCACGUUUAUAAGCAUAAAGUGCAUAUCAUGUGUAUAUUGAACAUCAAAGUAAAGUUUGCAUAGGUUCAAAUUUUGAUCAAGGACAUGUCUUGCCUUCUUCAUCUGGCUCUUGCUGCUCUAAGUCUUCAAAGGUUUGGUCUUCGAAUCUCUCGAACUGUGAUCCUUCUAUGCACAUCAAACAAGUAGAUACAAGCACACAAAAGAAUAACAUAAGAAAACAAUAUACUAAACAGUAGAAAAAGAGCAAAACAAGGUUAUAAAACUAUUCUAUGCAUCAACAAAAACUCUUAGGUGCAAGAAUCGCUCAAAAUGUAUUUAAAACGCUAAAGAUAUGAGCCAAACAAGAUAUAGGGGUUUAUCUGCGAGAAAACUAAACUUCCAGGGACUAAGAUAAAAGAAACCGAGGGCUAAUACCUACUUAAACAUAUAAACCAAAGGUCUAAUGCGCGAAAGGGCUAAACAGGAUGGUGGGCGCAAAAACUAGAAAGAACGGGGGCUUAAACAUAAGAAAUUGGACUAAAAUCUAAUUAGUUUUGCAUUAGUCUAGCCGCGGGUGCAAAAACUAAGAAAGGUGGGGUCUCUUAUGCAAAAGCAUCACAGCUGGCCGACUGUUGACUGGUAUUGACCUUGGGUCAAACAAAUUUGAACCGCUCGGCUCAGAUCUGACGGCUGGUGCUAGCAGGCGGCGAAGGCGGUGGUGGCAGAGGCAGUAGCAUGCAGCAGUGGUUCGUGGGAAUGCAGCAUAACUCGAGCUCUGGUUCUCAGUUUUUGACAAGAAUAGGCUCUGGAGUCAGGCAAGGACACAACGGAUGGAUCAAGAUGGGUUGUAGAGUCGAUAAGGUGGCAACAACGAUGCGCAGCUUGAAGGGGUGGCUCGGCGACGCUUCACCAACUCCGGUGAGCAGUAACGUGAUGCAAAGGCCACGGGUGCGGACAAGAAUAGCACCUAGGGCUUCCUUACCAUGAUGUGAAGCUCGGAGUGAUGCUCUUAGUGAUGGGAAGGCCGCGAAGGUAGAGAUUAGUGGUGGUGGCCAAGCUGAUAGAGUUAGAGCUCGAGCGGGCAGCGUUAGGGCUUGCGGCUUGGAGUUUUGGCGAAAAGAGUUGGCGGAGGCAGUGUCUCAAGUUUUAUAGGCCGAGGCAUCGACCUAGGCGUGCGGGCCAAGGGUGGAGGUGGAUUGGAGUGGCCUGGACUCGAGCUUGAGCUUAAGUCAGACCCAGCACGCUUGGAAAGAUGAUGAGCGGGUCCCACAUCAUAGCGAAAUGGUGUUGGUAUUUCAUAUAGCCUAACAGAUAAAUCCCCAAGCGUACGGAUACCAAUGUAGCUUUCAUUGAGGAGUAUUCCAGAGUAUCAAAUUCCACAGGGAACGAGAAGUGUACUAAUCUUGAACUAAUUCAUCUGAGGGCAGGUGUGGAUAUGAGUGACGACGAAGAGAAGAGUCAAAUGGUAUGAGGGUAAAGAGGGUGCUUGAUCGGGUAACUUGGUUCUCUCAACUAAUCCUGCAAUCAGAAUCUGACUAACUUUGCUUAUGUUAAGGGAAAUAGACGAUUCGCCACAGAAAGGGAUGAGAAGGGGUUCAGCUUGUGCCUAACGCUUGUAUGGUUGCCUACAGGUCCAGCCACUGGACACGUGGUGGAUUCCAAAGGCUAGACAGGGUUGUCACCACCUGCCGGCUACCACAAGCAGUCCGUGGAGCUGGGUGUAUUCCUAGGUAAAAUCUAGUCUAGACACCACGCCUACACUAUCAAUUACUACUUUACUCGGUGCUCAAGCAAAGCACCCACCACAAAAGUAGUGAAUGAGGAACCAGUAAACAGAGACAAGUAAGAACUGAUGCUCAAUUAAUCAAAGGGAACCAGAGUUACCAGACAAGACCCGGAUGUAGCUACUUGAAGAAGAUCUACAUCUGCCGAGGCACAAAGUGGAAGAGGGGCCGACAACUCCGGCUCCUCCCCAACACUCUCACCUCACCUCUCUCCCUAUUUUGCAAAGUAUGGUAGUGGCAGUGCUUCACUUCUUGGAUCUUCUUCUCUUGUGUGUCUUGUCCCGGCACAAAUGCCUCUAUUUAUAGUACCCAGGAGGCAGAGGGGUACUUGUAGGGGUGAAGCAGAGUUGGUUGGAGAUGAGCCCCUAGGUCGGUUGAAUUGGUUAGUUCGGCCGAAGCCAUCUGAUGCUCCACCUCAGCUUCUCCACGCUCGAGAUUGCCUCUUGAGGUUUAUUACUUGCAUGUAGAGUGGCGGUUGUGUCCCGUGGCCGCCAAGAGUGGGGUUAGCCGACCCAAUCACUUCGGCCGACCUACCCUCCCAGAUUUGGGGCCCUCCGAUCCAACGCCUAUUGCUCUGUGCAUACUUGAUUUCCUCAUGGAUGCAUUGGUUGGUGGGUGUAACUCUCUAGGACUCAGUUUGGUGGACCCAUGGAUCCAAGUGAGCUUCACUCGAACUCUCGGAUGCAACCAACAUAAAUCCAACGCUUCACAAUAGUCUUCAUUGUAUUUCUUUGCAUGUGACUGAAGAUGGUCAGGAGGGGACGGCUUUGAUUGGGUCGGCUGACCUGGUGGGUUCGGCCAACCUAGCCAAAGCGCCCCGGUUUGGUCCAAAAUUCAUCCUCCUAUCUCCUGCAUCAAAUAAACACAAAAACUUAUGGAAAUUGUUAGAAUAAAGCCCUUAAGCUAAGGUGAUUGCUUCAAUUGAUUGGUUUUGAUAUAUAUUGGUGGUUGCAAAUGGUAAGUUAACGACCGCCAAUAGACGGCGCAGAGGCGGAAAGGUGCUCGGCGCAUUUGGCGUCGACCGGUGCAGAGCAGGGGAAAUGGGCCGGCGGCCCACAGAAGCUGCACAGGACACGGGCCGGUAAGCUGGCCAGCGAUCGGCGAGCUGGGCCAAGCUGCUGCAGUGGGCUAGCUGCUGCUGCUGCUCUGGGUUGCUACUCCUGCCAGGCUAUUGGAAGAAGAAGGGGGUGGUGGCCCAAGGAAAAAGAUGACAAGGUGGAAGAAGAAGAAAAACAAAGAAGAAACUUUGCUAUUUUCAAAUAGAUUCAAACAAUGAAUUCAAAUUCAAAAUUUGAACUCAACAAUCAGAAAUAAAUGCACCAGCAUGAAUGCAACAAUAAAAAAACCUGCAGUUCUUUAAUUAAAUUUCAGAAAAACAUUUAAAUGCCUAGGAAAUUGAAUUCAACCUUAGAAAAUCCUUAAAUCCUUAAAGAAGCUCAAAUAAAUUCUAGAAAAUUCUAACAAAGCUUAUUAAGUUGCAAAAGUUGAAAAUUAGGGUGCUACGGUUGCUUUUGCAGACUCCUAAUAAUCUCAUCCCAAUCCAACUAUCGUAUUGGAAGAGUCACAACUCAUUCUUUUCUUUAGGGAGAGUUGAGGUGAAAUAUUGGGUUGUCCCAAUAAUUAUCGAGAAAAGGAAAAAGGUAAAAGGAGGUUGUUGGAGCACUAUUUUCAUAUCAACUCUCCUAAUAUGGUAGUUGGAUUUGGGAAAGGUACACUGCUGGAGAUGCUCUAACAAUCUGAAUGGAUAAGUUGCUAGCUAAAAAUAUCAUUUUGGGGCCAACGCAAGCUAGUGUUUGAACUUGUGUCGAAUUUGUCCAUGCUAGGAGAUAGCAUGUUAAAAAUGGACUUGGGUGUAAUACAGGGUAUAACAUGCAGGAAGAAUAAAACGUUUAGGAUCAAAUGCAAUGAGCCUGUUCAUCGAUAUAAAUGGAGAAUAGAGACUUAGCGGGAAGAUGUCUCCCGGAUACACAUGACCGUACAGGACUAGAAUAUCAUAACUACUCAUAUCUCUAUGAUAUUCUAUGAUAAAUGUGUAGAUUCAUAGUUUAACUUUUACAUCACACCUCCUUAUAAGUUCACCAUGUUUUUAACUAAAAUCUUACAAUAGUUGGAAAAAAUGAGCUUUACAUCAAGAGAAAUCAUAUGGUGGAAAGAUACUAAGUACCUGAGCUAUCUAGAGAACAGUACAAAAGAUUACAAAAUAUGUGGGACCAUGUAGGUAAUUUGGAUAAAGAUAGCAAGGUUAUUUUAUACUAUUUUUAUAAUUAUGGAGAAGCAAAUUUGAAAAUCUAAUGGUUAUUAAUUAUUGCAAUGAUGAUUAGAAUCUAUCAAAUUAAAAACCUAGUAUUCUGAUUUUUGUGAUACUCCCUCCAUUCUCCUUUGAGGGCUAGUUUGGCAGCAAGGGUAGCACAAACCAGGGAAAAAUUCCCACACUGGGGAUUUCGAUGGCAAAUCAAUUUUCCGGGAGGAGCUCUCCGCUCAGGUUUGCGAACCACGAGGCUAAAUUCCCCUCUGGAGCAAAAAAUACUUCAAAAAAUUCAGAAAAAAGUAAAGAAAAAUCAUAAAUAUUUAGAAAAAUCAGAAACGCCUUGAAAAAUCUCUAAAAAACAAAAAUCUACACCAGCCUUACAUGACCAUCCAUAAAUUCAAAUUAUGGUUCACUUUAAUCCAUAUAAAUUUGAGCUAGUGAAUGGAUGUUGCACAUAAAUAAUGACAUGUAUGUCUAGUAGAAAAACAAUUUGAUCACAUGCUUCACAAUAACACCUCCAUGGCUCAAUGACAGAUGACACCACAUUGCCACCAGUAGUCACCACCACAAUAUAUCAAAUAUUUAGAUACUAUAAAACUCUAGCUAAAACAGUACUGAAAUGAGCACAUAUGGUUUAGCCAGUUCCAGAAACAUUCUUGUUCCCAUCGGUAAUAAAACAUAGCACAGAUGGUUCAUUCACUUCUGGGGAAUGGACCUUUCGUCCACUUCCUUAGUACCGGCUGGAAUUGGGCCCGGUACUAAUGUGGCAUUAGUACCGGGCCUAAUGUACAGUUCCCCGAGACCCCUUUAAGUACUAAAAAUGUCACGGUACCUUUCUAAGGAUCUCCUCCUGUCUCUCCUUUCCCCCCUUAUCUCGUAUCUCAGUUCUCUCUUCUCACACUUCUCUCUUCUCACGCUUCUCUCUUCUCCCACGCAGGAGCGGGCGGGAGCGACGGGCGGCGGGAGCGCGGGUGGCAGGGCGGGAGCAGCGGGGGCGGCGGUCGUGGAGGUGGGGCCGGUGACGGUGGGGUGGGAGCAGCGGGGCCGGGGUGGCAGUCGGCGGGAGCGGCGGCUGGAGGACGGGGCAGCGGGGCUGGCGCGGGCCGGGGUCGGUGACGGUAGGGUUGGAGCAGCGGUGGCAGCAGUCGCGGGGGCGGGGUCGGCGGUGGCGGGGUGGGAGCGGGCGGGGAGUGGGGCGGGAGCAGCGGCGGGCAAGGGCGGGGGCCGAUUGGGGGCCCAAGUAAGGAUCAAUUUAACUGGGAUAGAGUUCUUAACAGAUUUAGUAAUGCUUAAGUCUAAUGGGAUAGAUGUGAUCCUUAGGAUGUAUUGGUUAAGCCUACAUGAUGGUCACAUAGGGUGUGCUGAUAAGGUAGUACGCCCAACCAAUCAGGAUGGUGCGCAAGUAACCUGUCAUGCUCGGGGAAGUGGACCAGACCCGGUGGUUUUUAGCAUGGAAGCUAAGGCUAUAGAGGAAGUCCCGGUAGUGAGUGAAUACCCCGAUGUCUUUCCUGAAGAACUACCUGGAUUGCCACCAGACAGGGAUAUAGAGUUCGUAACUGAUCUUAUCCCUAGAACCUCUCCCAUAGCCAAGAGACCCUAUAGGAUGGCAACAUCUGACUUGGCAAAGCUGAAGAAACAGUUAGGGGAAUUGCAACAGAGUGGUUUUUAUCAGGCAUAGCUCAUCCCCGUGGCCAGCUCCAGUUCUCUUUGUCCAGAAGAAAGACGGAAGCACGGGGAUGUGUGUGGAUUAUCGUUCGUUGAACAAGGUCACCAUCAAAAAUAAAUAUCCUCUCCCCAGAAUAGAUGACCUCUUUGAUCAGUUGAAGGGAGCCAAGUAUUUCUCCAAGAUUGAUUUGAGGUCUGGUUAUCACCAGCUCAAGAUUAAGGAGAGUGACAUCCCGAGGACGGCCUUUGUCACCCGUUAUGGUCAAUUUGAGUUCACUGUGAUGUCUUUUGGGCUGAUCAAUGCACCUGCACACUUCUUGAACCUCAUGAAGAAGGUGUUUGUGGAUGAGUAAAAUAAGUUUGUCGUAGUCUUUAUUGACGACAUACUUAUUUACUCCAAAAGCGUCCAAAAGCAUGAGCAGCAUCUACGGGUGGUGCUAGAAAAGUUGAGAGUGCACAAACUCUAUGCCAAAUUCAGCACAUGUGAAAUUUUGGUUGAGAAAGUAGCUUUCCUUGGCCAUAUUUUGACCGUUGAAGGAUUAGUAGUUGAUCCCGAGACAGUUGAAGCAGUUUCCAAUUGGCAACAGCCAACUAAUGUGAGUGAAAUUAGAAGCUUUCUUGGGUUAGCUGGGUAUUAUCGGAGAUUUAUUGAAGGAUUUUCCAAGAUAGCCUGGCCCAUGACAAAACUGCUCAGAAAGGAUAAGAAAUUCACCUGGAUAGAGUCAUGUGAAAGAAGUUUCCAAGAAUUGAACAAAAGAUUGACGACCGCCCCAGUGUUAACCUUGCCGGAUAAUCAGAGGGACUUCGUCAUAUAUUGUGAUUCAUCCCGAAAAGGAUUUGGAUGUGUCCUUAUGCAAGAUGGGAAAGUAGUGGCAUAAGCUUCCCGCCAGCUUAAGCCUCACGAGCAGAAUUAGCCAACCCAUGAUUUGGAACUUGCAGCCGUAGUGCAUGCCCUCAAGAUUUGGAAGCAUUAUCUGAUUGGGAAUAAAUGUGAGAUCUACACUGAUCACAAGAGUUUGAAGUAUAUCUUCACCCAACCAGAUUUGAACUUAAGGCAGAGAAGGUGGUUAGAAUUGAUUAAGGAUUACAAUAUGAAAAUCCAUUACCACCCUGGCAAAGCUAAUGUGGUAGCUGAUGCCUUAAGCAGGAAAUCUUAUGGGCAGCUCGGACCCAAAGAUACUCAUCUACAAGAAGAAAUGGCACGAUUAAAUGUUCACAUAGUUCCCCAGGAUUCCAGCUGCAAGCUAAGUGUUCAACCCACCCUUGAGGAUAAAAAUAGAGAAGCCCAAUGUUCAAAUUAGGAUUUAAUGAAAAUCCGUAAGCACACUGGAGAAAAUAAAGCACCAAAUUUUAGAGUGGAUGACAAAGAAACCUUGUGGUACAAAAAUAGAAUUUGCAUACCCAAGGGAGGGGAUUUUCGGCAGAUCAUUAUGGAUGAAGCCCAUAAUUUGGCAUACUCCAUCCAUCCAGGAGCCACCAAAAUGUAUAUAGAUUUAAAGCAAAAAUACUGGUGGAAUGGAAUGAAGAUAGACAUUGCCCAGUUCAUCGCCCAUUGUGAUACUUGUCAAAGAAUCAAGGCUGAGCACCAGAAGCCAGCAGGUUUAUUGCAACCAUUACCCAUCCCGAUUUGGAAAUGGGAGGAAAUUGGUAUGGAUUUUGUGGUUGGUUUGCCUAAGACUCAAAAAGGAAAUGACUCCAUAUGGGUAAUAGUGGACCGACUCACUAAGGUCGCUCACUUCUUACCCGUACGAACCAAUUAUGGUGAACAAAAAUUGGCUCAGCUCUAUGUGGACAACGUAGUGAAGUUGCAUGGUGUGCCUAGCAGAAUUGUUUCGAUUAGAGGUACCCAAUUUACCUCUAGGUUCUAGAAAAGUCUGCAUAAAGCUAUGGGAACCAAGUUGGAUUUUAGUUCGGCUUAUCACCCACAGACUGAUGGCCAAACAGAAAGGGUGAAUCAAAUCAUGGAAGAUAUGUUGAGAGCUUGUGUCUUCCCUAUGGCAAGGGCUGGGAGCAGAGUUUACCCUACACAGAGUUCUCAUACAACAACAGCUAUCAAGCUAGUUUAGGCAUGUUGCCAUUUGAGGCCCUCUACGGAAGAAAAUGCAGGACUCCUUUAAUGUGGUCAGAAGUGGGAGAAUGCAACUUAGUUGGACCAGCCUUUAUAAAAGAGGUAGAAGACCGAGUGGCCGAAAUUAGAGAAAAGCUGAAGGUAGUGCAGUCCAGGCAGAAAAGCUACUCAGACAAGAGGAUACGAGAGUUGAGUUUCAAUAUAGGAGAUUUCAUCUAUCUCAAGGUCUCACCAAUCCAAGGGACUCAAAGAUUUCAGAUCCAAGGAAAAUUAGCCCCUCGGUAUAUUGGACCGUACCAGGUGUUGAAGAGAGUUGGAGCGGUGGCAUACCGCAUUCAGCUGCCCAAACAAAUGUCAGAUAUACACCUGGUAUUCCAUGUCUCCUAGCUAAGGAAAUGUUUGAGAGUGCCUGAAGAGCAAGUACCGGUGGAAACAAAAGACUUGCAGAAGGAUCUUUGGUAUCAAGAAAUGCCCGUCAAGAUCUUAGACAUUGUCACCAAGAGGAUAAGAAAUUCAGUGGUGCGGAUUUGCAGAGUUCAAUGGAGUAGGCAUAGUGAAAACGAAGCCACUUGGGAACGCGAAGAUGCUUUAAAGAAAGAGUUUCCCCAUCUUUUUAGGAUUCACCCGACUCUCGAGGAUGAGAUUCAGUUUAAGUGGGGUAGGUUUGUAACGUCCCAAAAAUUCACUUAAUUUAAAUCACACAUUAAAACUCAAUUUCAAAACUUCUUUACCGUUUGAGCUCCCCGAUCCCAUCUUCCCCGAUAGUAAUGCUGUUCCCAACCACUUGAACCCCGUUGUCCCAUCUCUCUUUUUCACCCACGCGUCGUGCCACGUUGUCGGCCCGACCGUUCCGCCAUUCCCGCCAUCUCUCUUUAUUCCAUCGAUGUGCAACUUUGACCGUACCCUGUGCACCAUCAGAUCAAUCCCCGAAUCUCUUUUACCAUUUUACCCCCCCUCCCUAUAUCUCUCUUGCUUUCUUCUUUCCCUUCCUCCUUUUCUUUUACCUAUCUUCCUUCUUCUCCACGUGCAUGCCAGAACCCUACCUCCCUGCCGCGCCCCUCGGCCCCACCUCGCACCCCUGACUGUACCCCACUCACUGCUGCCGUGCCGCACCUCCUGUAUAGCCCAAAUUCAACCACAACAUUCCCAAAUACAUUUCCACCGAGUUACCUGCCUUUUUCUUCCAAUAAAGCUUUCCAUCUUUCUAUAUAUCUUUCUCUCCCUCUCCCCGAGCUCAACGGGGAAAACCUCUUUCUUUUUAUUUAUUUGUGAGAUUUGCUUAUGUGUGCCAUAGUUAACGGAAUGCCGGAGGAAGAGGAGCCCAAACACGAGCUAGGAGGCCAGUACCGCGAGCCGGAGCCCGAGGACCCAUACCGCAAGCAGGAACUCCCGGAAGGCUGAGGACGGCAAGUCCAAUCUCACCCUUUGAUGCAUAUUUAUCCCAGCUUUACAGACACAACCUAUUGGCCAUUUUUAUAAAUUGCAUAUUGUUUUACUACUUAAAACCUGGUUAGAUAGCCACCUCUUGAUUGCUAUGAUUAUUCCUUGAUGACCUAGAAUUAUCUCUAAAUAUGAUAUGCUCUCUUUAGAAGAUAAUUGCUGCUAGAACGCUUAGGAAUUGGUAACUUUCUUUGAUACAACUCAAUCAUGAAUACAAUAUUUUGCCAAAGAUAAAUGUGUGAGUGUUUUGGUGAAAAUAAAUGGGGUUUUGAUGAAGAUAAAACAAGAUGUUUAGAUGAGAUAUAUGGGUGUUUCUUGUGUGAAAUGCAGGUUGGGAGAUAUCCGUAUGUAACAACCUAGCCUAAUUAAACCAUGUUUAAUCUUAAGUAAAGUCAUUAGAGCAUAAAGAAGAACAAUGGCAGUUGUGAAGACAAGUAAAAAGACCCUUUUGCUCUCACAAGCUAAACAACUGUUUACACCAUAACUCAAAUUUUUGCUUAAGAACUUAACAAUCUAUCCAACUAAGAGUUGUAUAACUCAACUUUCCUAACAACUUUUAUUUUUGGUGUUUUGUCUGAAUCUGAGUAGAAGACCUUCAAAAACUUAAAAUUUGAAUCUGUGCUGAUUUAAGAAAAAUAGAUAAAGUCCCAACUUUGGAGCUCUUUAUCUACAAUUCUUCAAUAUGAACUCAAGCUGAGCUCUAUACUAAAGUUUUAAAGCUUCGAGCCCUUAACAACUUUGAAUAAAGGAGUAAGGUCAAAAUCUGCACAGAAGGCUUUCAAAACCCAGGUCAAAGUUGCCCAGUUUGGUCAACCCAACCCCCGACCUGCAAUCUAGACUAAGUCUGGAAUCAGUUCAACCACCAUCUUGGCGUAAGCUUAUCUUACAAAACUUGAACAUAACGCUAGCAAAACCAUUUAUAAGAGUUUGGGAACUAUGUUCAUACAACAACUUCAUCUUUUGGACCCUGGUCAAAUUCACCUCAGAAGCUCUUCGAAACUUGAGCUCAAUUCAGCCAAAAAUAUUAAAAGCAGCCAAACUGCCAAAUUCUUCUAAGUCUCGAAAAACGGCGUUCCCUCAAAUUUUGAAGCUUUGUAUCUUCAAAUAUGCUAUGAUUUUGAAGUCAGUUCAAUUACAAAAAUUGAACUUGGAUCUGAGGAGUACAACUUUUGUAAUGGGAGUUAAUGUCGUGCGGAUCAAAAAUCUAGAGAAACUCGCGCUCGAAGACCGCCCCAUCGCCGGAUCCCGCAGAUCCCUCGCGCCCAGAGCACGCAAGACUGCAUGCGUCGCGCUCCACCCACCGCUUGCCGCGUGGCCCCUGCUCACUGAUGCAGCACCUCCGCCUGGUCUCCGGCUAUGGUAGGACGACGCCUCGCGCACCAUGCCGCCAGUGAAGCGCCACGAUCCCCCACCCUGCUCCCAGCAGCUCCGCCUUGCCCGAAGGCACGCCUUGCCCGCUGCCCUGCCCGAGCGCGCACCCUCGCGGAUGCCCUCCUCGACACUGCCGCCUCCACCAACCGCUGCCCCGGCCGCGACAGCUCCUUCCCGCCUCGCCAGUGAUGCGUCCCGACAAAGCUGUUAUUGCCAUGCACGCUCACUUCACCCGCGCCUGCACGCCUUGCCUGCCGCGCCACCCCUCCCUUCUCUGCGCCAAUGGCGCCACCGCCAUUAAUGGCCGCAGCAGUGCCCUGGCUCCCCUUCGGUCCCCAGCUGCCAGCCUCGGCUCCGCCCCGCUCGCCUAUAACUGUGCCGCCAACGCCGCCGCACUCCCCUUCCCCGCUCCAGCUCUCCCUCGCCGCACCUGUCGCCGCCGUGCUCUGUUUUGCUCCCGCCAUCGAGUCACGUCUCCAUGGAGCCCCCACCUCCGCAGCUUGCCGCUCCUCUCCGCCACCACCGUUAGCCCCGUUGUGUCUGCGUGAAGCUUCACGAGCCGCUUCUUGGGGUUCCUAAGCGCCGACGACACCGGCACGCCACCGGACUUUGCCGCCGCCCGAAACUCCCCGCCCUUGCACCAUUCCACCCCCACCGAGCCUCCUCCGCACCCCCAACCGCCGCCAAUCACCUCCCGGUGAGCUCCCGCGCCUUCCCCAUAACUUCUUUCCCUGGAUUGGCCGGCGCAUCGCCGGAAUUUGGCUGGACCGCUGUCGUGCGCGCUGCCAAGGACACACUUGUGUCUUUUCCCUUCUUCCAGGGGCCUUAGCGCAAAAAUGAAGGACCCUUGCAUGUUUAACCUAUAGACACAAGGGCUAGAUCGCAAGUUUACCAUGGUUUUUCUUUUUUUUUGACAAAAAAUGCUCCAAACUUUGAAAAUACGCCAUAAAUUGUACAAAAAUCGUAAAAAUGUCAAAUUAAUUUUUCUAGACUCAGUAUAAAGUGUAGUUCUUGAUAAAAAUACUUUUGGCACAUGUCUCUACUAGAAUUUAUGUUAUAUGUUUUGAUCCUUGUUUAAGCUAUUUAAAUCAUAGUAAAUUACAAAAAAAAGCUAAAAUGAUGAAUCCAACUCUCAAGUGUUUGUUUCAGAGAAUGCAAGCUUAUAAAAAUAAUGUGGAGCCUAGCUAAGAUGUUUAAGUCUCUGUUUUAGUUUUAUGAUUAAAAUCUAAGGUUGCUUUUUGUCCUUUUUUGCAUAAUAAUUUAUCCAGAGGUGAGAAAAAUGUGAAACCACAUUCAGUAAGUCAGUGGCCAAGCCUAGUUCACAAGAAAAACUUGAAACCCUGUCUGAAGGUUCUUGGAACCUACCUACCUUUUUAUAGGAAGAUAAGUGAGAAGAAGUUAUGGUAUAGGGUUUCCCUGCAUUAAUAUUUCUGAAAAAUUCACCAAAGGCUAUGUUCCUUCUUUGUAACACUCUGCUAAAAUUUCAGCAACAAACUCUAUGAAUAACUCGAGUUAAAAAUGAAUAAGUACUUGUCACCUAGGGAUGAUGAAAUAAUUUUAAUUCUUUUUGUACUGAUCCAAUUCACCCCAAAUUUUUACAGUAACCUAAUGAUGUUAUGUCUAAUCUACUGUUAAAUUAACAAUGUCAUUCCACACUGUUUGAAGAUGGAAAUAAAAUUUGGAAGAUGGACCUAACUAAAUGGAAGAAAGAAACCUUAAGUAAAGGUAAUGGUCUUUUUCGGUAGAGGUACAAAAAAUAUUCAGAAAUAGGAUAACUUUCCGAUCUAAAGUUUAAUAAAGAUAAGUUGUAUAUAUGUACGCAAUCACCAUCAAAUAAACCCCGAGUUUUAUACCAUAACAUACCUUACCUUAUGCAGGUAAAGAAGGUUUAGAACCUUGUUUAGGUGAAUGUGGUCAUAGUGUAAUUUACACUUCAAUACUAAUUCGUGUUUUCCAUCCUAUGCGAAAGCAUGGAAGUUUGAACUUGAUGCAUUUGCAUUUCGUGUAGAGCUGAACCUUGCUGACGGAACGUACGAGCUGCACCCGGCGCCAGAAGAAGGAGCCGUAGCUGAUAUGCAUCAAGUCAGAGCCGAGCCCGUACCGGAGCAAGCCAAGGACUAGUUCGCUAACUCCCAGUGUUAAGGGAAGCUCCGGAGCAUGAAUUCCUAUUUUUUUAAUACAUGCAAUAUAAUUGACUACUUUGGUUGCGCAUUUACGACUCUAGCAAUUGAUUGAAACCGUAGAUGCAUGACUUAGUACCCAUUGACCUGAACAUUAGUAUGAUAAGCCAAGUAGUUGCAAUGCUUAAUAGGAAUAAGAAAAAGUCGAGUGAUUGCCUAUCACUCGCGAGUUAUAGGAUAUGAUUGCUUUCCUUUUGUUACAACUAUAAGGACGAAGGACGGGGUAAGGCUCUGUGAAUUGUUUUUGGUGGUCAGUGGAUUGCCCCGUCUGUCUACAUGAAAUUGGACUAAGGUCGAGAUGUGAUAGUGUUUGUGAUCAAGUGUUGAAAGUACUAAUCUCAUACCUAGUAUGGGAUGGGGAAGCUUAGUACCUGAUUGAACCGGGACGUAAGCGGAUCGCCCCACUGUCUCUGGAAUGGAUGCUCCCUUGCGGCCGCAUGUAGUGACAAGUGCGGUCAUAGAACAGCAGAGGCUGGGUUUAUGGAGCCUUGUACCGAGGGAAGUGGGCCCAACACGAGUCUGGGAAUUGAUGGGGAUGGCUGACCAAUGAAGCGACCCUUCACGGUGCGUGGAUGUCAUGGGAUUAGGUUCGCCAUACAUGGUUGAGAAAUUCGAAUCGAUUCGUCUGCCUCUCACAGUUUGGGACUACUUGAUCGCUAUGCUACACUUAGUAAGAAUGAAAUAUGAUGAUGAGCUAAUGUUGUUACUUGUAUUAAUUGCUUGGAAGCUAUGCUUGGUUUAGUAUAGUUGCUAACUUUGAAUGGUAAAACAACAAUAGAACUUGUGGCUAAAAUAUUGAAAGUAAGGACCUACACUAGUCGCUUUUGGCAAAAACAAACCCUAGAGCCAAAAAGCUUGCAUGUCUAGGUGUUGGCAGAUUAGUACCACUGGUUGGUUAAGUCUUGUUGAGCGUAGUUGCUCAACCUUAUUGUGGCACAUCUUUUCAGGUAAUGUUGAUACUCCUGAGCUCGCUGCAAGUGGCACUUGGCCUACCCAACUUCCUCCUGGUUGGACGGUUGAGUGGGAUCCCUCCUCGGAUGGCGAGGAAAGGGAUCAUUGAUGUCAUGAUCGGCUUCUUCAUGAUAUCCUGCAAUGAUGUCUAGCUUCCGCUUAUUUGUUUCUGUCAUUUGAAAACUCUGCAAAUUUUGUUUGAAUUUCGAACUUGAUGUUGUAAUAAUUCGAUGCACUGUUUAAUUUGGAUGGAUUGUUGUAAUCUCUGUAACCACUCGCCUUCGUGCGAGUCUUGCUUUCUCAAUCCUGAGUUAGGUGGUUUAUCAGAUGAAAUCCAACAGACGACCAAGUUGACUUGUUUAAAGUACAUGAUCGCGUGUUAAGCGACUUAAGUGUGCUUUAGCCAUGUUAAUUUGGGCGGUUCCACCACACCGUCUUGUCUUGGUCAAGGACCGAGUUGAUGUGUCAUCUUGCCUAGCCCAAUUUAUCGUGCAACCACUCGAUCUUUGUAUCCGGCAAAGGCUUAGCAUAAAUCCCACUAGCUAGUCUGUUAGCCAUCAGGAGAGCGGGUGAGCAACGGAAAACCAUGGAGAAGGAGUAAGCAUGUGUGGCUUAGGUCCCGGUUAAGACCUCGUUGGUAGGUCGUUAACCCCUUGGUUGCUUCCGUGUUGGCUAGUCAGGUGUUAGCUAAGGUGGGUAAUGGCUUUGAAAGGAUCCGCACUAACAUUAAGGUGAUCGAGUUGUGGUACUCUACUUGUGUGUAAAGUGUACACCUCAGCAGAGUUAAAACCUAUUCGAAUAGAAGUGUCCAUGGUAUUGGAUGAGUUAUGGUUUGGACACAUAACUAGCUUUUGGGAUGGAUGAUUUUCAUGGCGUGCGUUGGAUUUUAGAAGUGUCCGACAGUUGUGCCGUGAGCUAUCGCGGACGGGGAGUCCGGUAGCAUUAAAAUUUGGAUCCUUUGUGUAGGAUCAAACCCACUCAAUUAUUUGGUUACUAAAUAAAUGCUUUGUGAAAACCUUUUUAAAGUGAACCCUUACAUGUGUUAAAAAUCUAGCUUUAUUGCAAAUGAACCUUAGCCUUAUCCUUGUUAUGACUUACACACAUUCUUAUUAUUUCCCCCUCCGUGGGUGUGGUUGGAUUUGUUGAGUACUUUGUACUCACCCUUGUUUUGUUGCUUCAGAGGAGGAUCUGGACUUUUUUGCCAAGGACAUCGAUUAGGUGGUCGUUUUCGCACCCAACGUUGUCUGUGGUGUUGGACCUUUGCAGGAUGGUUCCGCUAGCAUGUAGUCCCGAGUGUUGUCUAGUGUUCAUCUGAACAGUAGCUUGGGUCGACCAUCGUUGUUUUACUUAUUUUCAGUGUAGUUUUCGCGCCUGCUCCCUCGGGAGUUGUACAGUAUAUGAACCAUCUAAUAAAUAAAUGUGUUAUCAGCCUCCUAGAACUGAUAUUUGUAUCAUAUUUAGUCUCUGCUUACGUGAGGACGCUUCACUAAUUUUUUGCUUUAGCCACAUUAAUCGAACAUUAGGAUUCUUGGUUGUAAUGAAUAUCUUCAUGUGUGUCUCAGACUCAAAGACAUCCAAAGAAUAUGACUUCUCAUUAUCAGUUAAUUCAGCCAUAGCAUCCACUUGAUCAACACACUUCUCAACUGAAAAUUCUUCAUCACACCUUUUCCUUUCUUCAAGAGCUUGCAAAGUUUUGCUAUUUUGGCUCUUUUUAAAAUCCACAUAUCCUUGAAGAGCUGAUCCAAUGUGACUUUGCUUACGCUUUCUCCCACUUCCACCUUCUUCCUAUCUUGAAUCUUGAGCUUUAUUGUGUUCACUAUGUGCACUAGAAGUCUCUUGGCCAUCGAAACUCGAAGCAAAUGGAUUAGUACCCAAGUGACUGCAGCUUUGUUUAGAGUUACUUCUUUCAACAGGAGGUGCAGGAGGAGGAAGAGCAGAAGGUGCAGCAAGAGGAAGAGCAGGAGGUGCAGGAGGAGAAGGUGGAUCCACUUGCUUGGUUGAUGUGAAGUUUAGUUUUCCUGUAGCAACACUUCCUAUUUUCAAGAGACAAUUGGAACUCAUAUUACAACCACUAAAUUGUUUGAUGCUGAAAGCAAUAAAUUAAGCUAUGCAAGUGAGAAAUCUUCACUUUCAUAUAGUGCUUCCAAUUAGUAAAAGAGAGAAAAUGGCUUUUUGCGGAACUUUGAUACUCUAGGGUAAUUCUGUGCAACAUAAAACUAUAAUUAGUUCUCAAUGGUAACUUAGCUACUUCUGAGCAUAUUUUGUACUUCUAAACAGGAAAUGGCUUAUCUUAAUUAGUUUUUCCCAGACUUUUGAAUAUGCAAGUAUCAUACACAUAUAUUCAUUCCAGCCAUUCCCACUUUCACUUUUAGCAUCUCUUAGUGCCUUGUAGUUAGCUUUGAGCUCCUUCUUCUUCUCCUGCACCGCUGCUUUGUGAAAUGAGCUAUGGGAAACUUCUCAUUGAACUUGGUGGUAAUAACCCUCCAGUCCUUCGAUACCCAACCAUUUUGACCUUUAUAUUUGGGGUUAUCUUUGUAGUCAUAUAAUAUUUCAACAUAUCAAAAAAAGACCUUCCUCAUAAGUGGAGUUCCAAGAAGCCCUAUCAACAUCUCCUGCCAUGGUUGCAUUUCCCAAAACAUGUUAAGAUGAAGUUGACAGAAACAUGAAUGCAAGUUCAAGGUGUUUCAAAAAAACAAAUUCAAGUACAAGGAUAAUAAUUGCAUUAAAUAAAGGCAUUGAUUACAAUAAUGUUUGCAGUAGAAAGUUCCAAAAUUACAUAAGCAAAUCAUACACAAACUAGAGAAACCAUACUCCUCUAAAAGACAUUAUUCUAAACUAAUUAUUAUUAUUAUAAGUAGCCCACAUUUGGUGUGCGAUCUGAUCUCAUAGAGUAUUGCCAUCACUUGACUCCACCUCACUUGGAUAGUUGUUGUCCCCCUUUGUCGGACAUACACCCUAGGCCCACGAGUAAGCCCUGAACGGCCCACCAAGGGGCGUACUCAGACAUGGUCAAGACAAGGGGGCUAUGCAGCAAUAGGCGUAUCCCAGUCAGACUAGUUAAGUAUGUGUAUGGAAACUACUCGGGUCAUACAGAGUAGGACUGUGUAAUUGUACUCGACUAGGAUUCAGACUUGUAACCCUGCCCUCCCAUUUAUAUAAGGGCGGGCAGGGACCCCCCUCCAGAACAACUCCAAUUCAUCUAAGAUCAAUACAACCAAACACACAGGAUGUAGGGUAUUACGCGAUCUAGCGGCCCGAACCUGUAUAAAUCGUGUUCCUUACAUCACCAUCGACUCCUUGAUUCUCGAUGGCCCUUACCGCACAAAAGACCACCUAGGGUACCCCCUAGGUAGGUUGCCGGUCUAAAACACCGACAACUGGCGUGCCAGGUAGGGGUGCUCGUCGAGUUUCUCAGCGUGAGCUCGAUGGCACCCGUUGUUUUCAAGCCUAUCUUCACCAUCGAAGCAGGCGCAACCUUUGUUUUUGGAUCCUGGCUCUUCGUCGCCGACGGUGCUGGAUUGUUCUGGCGCCAGAUCAUCAACGUCCAGGAGAAGAAAUCGGAGGAUUCGGUCGAGAAAAACCAAAAUUUCAAAGUCAACAAUCCCGAGUUCGACUACGCAUCGGACCCGACCUCAGUUCAGACUAGUCAGUCCCAGUCACUUCCCAAAUCGACUUCGACUCCAAAAUGGAUCCCAUACAGACUCCACAAUGCAGCCGAAGUCUACCAAAGUUUCCUCACUCGAACUCAACUCGAACACGGGAAAGAUGAAGACGACGACUCUGACUCAGACUAUCUCCUAGAGCUCCCACUAACAGGACCAGCCAAAGGACUGGUAAUAACUUCAACAUCACAAGGCAUAUUCGUACACUGGAUAGGAAUGAGACCAUCCCUCCUUGCCCGCGACUACGAGUCGCGCCUUGUCGCUCAUAUAGACAACCUCCCAUACCAAGAAGGCGUCCCACUCACUUCAAGCCGCGAUGAAAGUUCCACAGAAAUUGCAACAUCAAGCUUUGGAAGGUACUACCCAGACAGAGAAGCCUUUGUUAUUACUCAAAAUAACAACUCGGGUACUAGCCAGCAGAGAACUCCCCGGCGACUAGCACAACUCAACAAUGUCUCAGAAGACGAGUCAACAACUAACGCCCCACAAGAUGAAACCUCCGAUCAAAGGAAAGAAAGAAGGGUGUGCAAUGCUACUCGGGCUGAGCGAUGACAAACGCUGGCUACAAACAUUCCCAUCACAAACCUCGAAAGAGCAUUUGACACAGUACAGGCUCAAGAAAACAACACUCCACUCGCAGCAAUUGCCUCUAUCAACCUUAUAUCAACGCUCACACCUCAAGACAGAGACAACGAAGUCACAGCUCAACUUGCGCAGCGAGGCAACGGACUAAUCGCACAACUCGCAGAACAAGCUUACAAGCUACUCGACAAAGAAUCACCAAUCCCGUCUGUUCCCCGCAUCGUAGUUCAUCAAGAAGGCAGUAGAGAUGCUGCAGCCAACAACAACGAAGUACAAAGGAACGACAACGAAGUUGUAAACCAACCAAGGCAACACAACCAAGGUCUGAGUAAACACAAUGCCCCAAUACGCCAGAAGGACGUUGGAGAAGUCAGCUGCACCAACUCCGUGAAAAGUCCUCGCCCCACUCGGAAAAAUCAUGAAAUAUCAAAUUUCAGUGAUCUACGAGAAAUAAUCAACAGUCGACGUGAGCGAGAAGUCGACAACUACAACCACUUUCCUGCUUUCACAAACCGGGUAAUGAGGACAAGACUACCCGAGAAGUUCAAACCAACAGGAAUCACCAAAUAUGACGGCAAGCAAGACCCAAUUCAAUAGCUCCGAUGCUACUCUUUAGCAGUGCAGGCAGUUGGGGGUAAUAACGACACCAAAGUCAUCCACUUUCCCAUAUGCAUGGAACUCGCACCGCUGACAUGGCUUGAGUCACUCAAACCUAGAUCAAUCGACUCUUGGGCAGAUUUGACAAAGGCUUUCACCAACAAUUAUGCCGGCUCCAUGGCUAGACCGGGCAACAAGAUCGACCUGAGUCAGAUAAAACAGAAAGAAGGUGAAACACUACGUGACUACUUGCGACGAUUCUUCGAAAAGAAUGUUACUAUAGUUGACAUUUCAGAAACAGACGUCAUCGAGUGCUUCCAGAAUGGAUUCUACGAUCAACGAACAUACCAAGACUUCGGCAGACGAUGACCAUCUAAUGUCAAAGACCUCAAAGUCAUGGUACAACAAUGGGCAGAUGAAGAGGACAAAGAGCGAGAAUGGUUCGGCUCUCAUCGCAACCGUGGACACGACAACAACAACAAUGAUCAGGAUAGAACUCGACACAAUGAUACUCAAAACAACUUUUUGAAUAAUCAAAAUCGCAAACGGAAACCCGACAACACCAUUGCUUUCAUAACUAACUCCGGGAAAAAGGGAUCCCGCAAAAACGAUGAAGGGCCAACCUUGACCGAACUACUCAAAAAACAGUGCCCAUGGCACCCGACUAGCAAGCGUCAUGUGGCAAUCUCCUUCAGUAGAACAAUAUGAUGAAGAAAUAGCAGAAGAAACAAGACGCACGGAUCUGGACAGCCUAGAAGAAACAAGAUGCACAGCAUUAGUUCAAUUAGCCAGAUACCUUGACGGGUUAAGACGAUACCACGACCGCAAUGUCAAGGAACGGUCCUUCAACUUAGGCGACAUGGUCCUCAAACGAAUCCAAGACACGUUAGGGUUGCAUAAACUCAAUUCACCAUGGGAAGGUCCUUACAUUGUAUCCAAGGUUACAGGACCCGGAUCUUACAGACUACAAGAACUUUCAGGAGAACAAGUACCAAACUCUUGGAAUAUAUAGUACCUCUGUCGCUACUACCCUUAGUAGACAAAAGAACUCGAGUUAUUACUUCAAGCAGAAACUCAUUUCAACUACUCGAGCUAGCAGCUCGACUACCGACUACAAGAUAUACUACUCUUGACACCAGACUACCAACUCAACAGGCAUUCCAGCUCUAGUACAAAGCCUCAAGGGCAGAGUAAUUUUUUACUUAAGUCCGAAGACAAAUCAAAAAGUUACAUACAAGUAAAGGUACUCGAAAUAGAAUACAAAAAGACUACAAGCAAUUGCCUACUGGCGGGCUUCAUUUAAGCCUCAGGCUUUUACAAUAUCACAAGGCCACUCAGGUCUGCCGACUACAAUGGGAAGGGCCCACACGCAAGGAAGCUGCGCAAAACGCAGCCAUACCCAGGUCCUCUACCCAAGGCAACACCAGGUACUCCUGCACCACCGCUGCCUUGACAGCGGCAAUGAUGAAUCCCACGUGCCGCGCAAAAAAGGAAACAAGGCUGCUCUUUUGCUAGCCUUGUCGACCCGACCCACAUUGCGGCAACACCUCCUCCUCUAAGAGAGCAGGAUAAAGACCGCGACACUCAUCACCCAUCACUCGCGAGUUCCAGUGCGUACCAGGCUGGAUCACGAGCUGCAAGAUGAGACGCGCGAUGAAACCUCCUACGAGGAUUCAUCUAGCAUCGCGGCUAUCCCUACGAGUGCUAGAGUCUGUGGAGGGAAGGUGGCCCCAAUCUACGAGGAAUCUUCUAGCACCGGUGUACUCUUUGAAGGCUCUCUACACUCAAACAAUAGCAACCGGAGGCAAUCCAUCGCUACUCAAAGCCUGAUGCAGGUCGAUCUCCAUGGCGGUCUAUUUAUAGCCAAGCGCUACAACCGUCAACCACCCAGGAGUUACUAUACGCCCAUGAUCGACGAGUCUGGAUGACCUCUGACUCUGCCCACAUGAAAGCAUUCAUGCCACAAAGGAUAAAAGAGUAUAGUACACCCGUGCACCCCCCAUUCAAAGAGUAAAAAGCAGAAUACUCGACAAAAGUGCGACUACCCAAACUCAACACUCGGAACUGCUCCAAAUAACAAAGGAUGGACAAGUGUUCAUUUUUCAAACAAAAUAUUGUUCCAAAGUACUCGGCAGCUUACAAGAGUACACAAAAGCCUAAGGCUCCUCCAAAGAUACAAAAUCAGACAUCUUCGACGCAAUUGGUUCAACCUCCUCGAGGUACUGCGUAUAAGCCUCCUCCGUGCAGUUGCGAGCAACGCCAUCACCAGCCGCCGUCAAAUCUGCUCUCGGGUAAUAGGACUUGACCACAGCAAGGACUUGUUUACAUACAGCCUUACAGAGGCUAGCUACCUCACCCGGAGCAACCUUCAAGCGCUCGACUGGUGAACGCGGUCCUGCGUCCUCUUCAAGAGGAGCAAUGGCAUUCACCAAGUCCUGAGCGGCAUCAGUUAACUCUUGAAGCUCGCCGUGAAGUCUUCCUAUGGUCUGGCCAUGAUCUCUAUAGGCCACCAUGGCCAUAGCAAGCAUCACUCCAUUCUGGUUUUUCCUGUCUCGCUGAUGCUCGCAGGCAGCCUGCGCUUCAGUCAGUGCAACCCAAAGAUGAUUAGCCUCAUCAGCUACUCGGUCAUGCGCGUUCCUCCAGUCAAGGAGUUGGCUACUCGCAGCAACCUCCUUCCUCUUGAGCUCUGCAAAAAUGAUCAAGUUCAAACAACCGACUACAGUCGGACAUAUUCGAAGAAUGGAAAGUACUCACCUUGAUAUUUCUUAUUCAAUGACUUAUAGAGGCUCUCCAAUUUUUCUUGCAAAACUUCGUGGUCUAACCACUCAACGGCAAAAGAUUUCGCAGCAUCUUCAUGAACCCUCAAAGAUUCUGUAAGCUCGGCACACUCCCGCUCCAAUUGUUCAUUCUAUUCAUGAAGGGCCCGAGCAUUCCUCUGAGUCUUGUCAUAUAGAUCCUGCAAGGAAAAGCAAAUGGAUAAGUCUCUUAGCAACAAACAGACAGACAAGAGAAAUAACACACCUGAAAGCUUUGCAUAGCUCUCAUAAACUCCAACUCUGACGGAAGCCCGAGUAUUGGACCUUGAGCACUCUUCACAACAUGAGGAGUCGUACCCAAGGCUGUACCUAAAAGCGACGAACAUUAGUCAACACAAUACUACGACUACAACACCAGUAUCCCGAGUACAUACCCGGUGCAGUCGCCUCUUUGGCCUUUGCCACAUCAACCAACGCCAAAACUUCUCCAGUAGACGUCGACGGGGUCCACCUCCAGAACCUAAAGCAACUGAAGGAUCCUCCACCAAGCAGAUCACUUCCUGAAGCAUGGACAUAGUGGCACCAAGAUGACUAGCAUCAACUCCGGAUACAUCAUCAACAGACAGAUCGUCCAAGAGAGCAGAAAAAGUUGUCGGGGGACAAGACUCUACUCCUGCCUCUACAGGGAUAGUCUCCUCCACAUCCCUACAUCAAAAUACAAAGUCACCACACGACUUCCAGAAAGUUUGAAGAUACACACCAAGAAUAAAAAACUCACCGAGUUGAUCGUGGCAGCAAUCACACACGUUUUUUCUCAGCAAUAGGCAUCCGAGUACUCGGCACCGCAGGAGCAGCGGAAGGUGCAGUCUUUUUGCUAAGUCCUGCAAAAAACAGGGUCACGACUACAAUAAACUCAGACUAACAAAAAUAGUCGGGGGGAAAGCUCACCACUAGCGAUCACAUUGGAUAACAAAGAGCCAGUAGCAACUACUGGCGAUACUCCCUUCGCAACAUCCACCACUCCAGCAGGCAAACCCAGAACUGCCUGGUCAGGGACCGGUAGCGCGGUAGCCAAAGAAGUCUAGACUGUUAGCUCAGGGGCUGCUCCAGCAUCCGCUGGCGGCACCUCCCCUGGCACCUCUUUUACAGACGCAACAUCAACAUCAUCGGCGGUUGCGGCCACCUCAUCAGAAGUUGCUUCAUCAUCACCAAGGGUCGCGUCAACAACCUUUUCAGAUAAAUAAAGUGAUCAAGAGGGUACAGGAAAAAAUCUACCAGUUACCAAUAAAUACACGACUACAUACCUUGGUACCCUGAGACUUCUCAGGAGUCGAAGUCGAGGCAGACUUAGCAGCAGACUUCUUGUGGACUACUCGGCGUUUCUUCACAGGAGGAGAAGGCUCGUCCUCUGACUCUUCAACAACCGACUCUUCCUCGGAGUACGCCAGAUAGCCAGCAAGAACCCGAGACUACAAAAAGAAAAAUUAUUGUUACUCAAACAACCUCCCAAAAAGCUCAAAAGGUACAAGUCAAGUAAAAGACCAUACCUCUUGUGGCUGAUACCAGGCAUCAAACUGGCGAAAAGCUGAAGGAACAACUAGUACUCCUUGAUAGUUCCUGAAGAACUUGGCCAGCAGCGCCUCCACAUCAUCGUCAGAAAUGUCAUCAGGAGACAUACGUGACAAGUCAUUAAAACCUGAGUACUGCCCACCCGGGUGAGCCCGCUUCUGCAAAGGCUGCACUCUCCUCUUCAGAAAUCUGGCCGCCACAUUAAUUCCAGUCAAACCUAGGGCCUUCAACUUGGCAAUCUGGGUCAGCAAGCUGUCGAUCUCAGGAGAAUCUUCAGGUUCGCUGACCCAGUUCUCUGCAUGCUUCAGGGCGUGACAUGUGACUACCGGCAAGCGAGGCUCAUGGUUUCCAAUGUAGAACCACUUCCUUUUCCACUCCCCAUGGGAAUCAGUCAAAUUAUAAUCAAGAUAGGCGCCCGAGUUCCUAAGUUGGAACCCUGCACCUCCAAAAACCUCUGUCCUAAUGGCACUAGGCUGAGGCUUGCAACGAAACAAUUUCCUAAAUAGCUCAAGGCUAGGAGGAAUGCCCAAGUAAACUUCACACAAGUGUACAAAAAUGGACAUAUGCAACACAACAUUGGGAUUCAAGUGAACGAGCUGAAGCUUGUAGUACUCGAGGAUACCUCUGAAGAAGUUGGAGGUAGGCACUGCCAGUCCCCUCUCCACAAAGUGUGCAAGCAUGACUGGCUCAUUCGGAUGCUUCUCGAACUGACACGCGUUAGCAAAGGCAGGCCUCCACUCGAGUACCUCCUUUGGCUGCAGAAACUUGGCGUCGACAAGCGCCUGAACGACCGCCUCCUUCAUCAUGGAGUUCUGCCACGUCACUCCAGGCGGUGGCGGCGCAGUCUGGUUCUUUGGACCCACCUUCGGCACCGGCAACACCAACUCCUUCCUUUUCUUUGAUUUCACCUUACCCGCCGCCGGAGCUUUUGCCUGAGACUUUUCGGGUUUCUUCCCCAUCUUCUUGGUGCGCAUCCGCUGACUUCAGCCGCAGCAAGGAAAAAUGCGGUCAACCUCAGAUCUAUCUCAAAGAGCAAUAGCAAUGGCGGCGGUGGUGCUGGAAGAUCGUGAUGGUGCAAAAGAGGAACAGAACAACGGGGCGAAGAAGAAAAAUAGAUCUGCUCCAAUGAAACGUAACCCUAACCGAAAGGGGGCCCUCCAAUUCUAUCUCCCCCGCCUCUGGAUUCCAAGCGUCAGUUACGCAACGGAUAGGUUUAAAACAGAUUUAUUGCCAUAACACCCAACGGCUACUCCUACCAACGGGUUUUGACCACUUCAUCGACAAAAAUCGCCUAAGUGCUUGGGGGUUGCGGGUACCGUACCCGAUGGUCAGAAUUUGCUUUUUCAGAUUACCAGAGUAAAAUAGCCAAGAAGCAGGAUUGACCCUAAGCCUGACUCUUCGACUCAACCUAAGGCUCAGGGAUACUCCAUAUGGAGUGCGAUUGUCAUCGCACUACCACAUAAAAUUCUUGGAAUAGAAGCAACUCAAAGGAGCAAGAAGAGUACCUUUCAUCCACGCGACAAUACUCGCGCACUUUGGACACUACAACCUCUACGAAGAACUACUCGGAUGGUGCCCACAGUACUCAUGGCUGUGGCGCACGACUACAAAGUACUCGGGGGCUUGUCGGGCAUACACCCCAGGCCCACGAGUAGGCCCUGAACGGCCCACCAAGGGACCUACUCGGACAUGGUCAAGACCAGAGGGCUACGCAGCAAUAGGCGUAUCCUACUCAGACUAGUUAAGUAUGUGUAUGGAAACUACUCGGGUCAUACCGAGUAGGACUCUGUAAUUGUACUCGACUAGGAUUCAGACUUGUAACCCUACCCUCCCGUGUAUAUAAGGGCGGGCAGGGACCCCCCCUCAAGAACAACUCCAAUUCAUCUAAGAUCAAUACAACCAAACACACAGGACGUAGGGUAUUAUGCGAUCUAGUGGUCCCAACCUGUCUAAAUCGUGUUCCUUGCAUCACCAUCGACUCCUUGAUUCUCGACGUCCCUUACCGCACAAAAGACCACCUAGGGUACCCCCUAGGCGGGUUGCCGGUCUAAAACACCGAUACCCUUCAACACGUCAACAUAUUGAUCUGUUGAGAUAUACUCUAGUUGGUCAUCCACCCAUCCCUCUUGACCAUUUUGGCCUCUAAUUAUAUUGUGAAAUGCAACUGCUGCAGUUGCAAUCUUGAUUUGAUUUUCUAUGGGAUGGAAAGUGCCUACUUUCAUAAUCGGGAACCUCUUCUUUAGAACACCAAUGGCCCUCUCUAUAUAGUUCCGAAGUAAUGCAUGACAAUGGUUGAACAGUUCUUUGUAGUUUGCAUAACCACUUUGAGACGAACGACGCCUUCUAAGCUCCCUAAGAUGGUACCAAACUCCUCGAUAUGUGGCAAUAAAGGCGUUAUAUUUGUGUACCCACCAUCUACAAGAUAGAAAUUUUCCUCUGGCACACUAAAUCCUUUGAUAACAGUAGAUCUAAGGACUCCUGCAUCUGAUGCUGAUCCUUCCCAUCCACAUGAAAUGAAUGUGAAGUUAAGGUUGAAGUUACAGGCUAACAUAACAUUCUAUGAUAGGGUUUCUUUCCUAUUUCUGUAGGGAGGGGUCGUGUCUUCUGCAACGAUGAUUGGUAUAUGAGUGCCAUCGAUUGCACCAAUUCAAUUCUGCACAAAAGGAAAGAAAUUAAGGACUUGGCACGCAAGGAAAGAAAAGAUUGGAGAAAGGAUUAUGUCUAGUAGUGUUAAUGCCCCACCUGAAAGAAAACAAGGAUCUGUCGCGAUUCCGAUAUGAGUUUGGACAAAACUUGGAAGUCUCACAAAUCGAUGAGUUCAAGCAAGAAUUAUUUCGAAAACUUCUGUUAUUUUCCAAUGGAUCGUCUCGCCGCUGUGUUGAAAAGGUUUCUGUAGCCUUUGGUUGCUAGCAUUGUGUAAGAGCAUGAACAUGAACAUCCCAAGCUGCUCCUCAAUAGCAACACCUCGUGUGUCACGGAGCAAAUUAUCCCUUCUAAGAAAGUCCGCUAUGAUUUUAAAUAUUUCAGGCUCCAUUCGGAACUUAACUUUACACCAACUCGGGUACCCUUCAAGGAUUUCCUUAACCUUUUUGGCACCAGGAAGAGAAGAUGUGUGCACAGGCAUUUUCUCUUCUUGUAAGUAUAGAAUUAUGACAUGAACAAAUACAAGAAAUAGCUCAUCAUCCUCUUCCUCCUCCUCCAACAAGAACUGCCUAACUUGCUCCUCCCAAUAUCCCAUUAUCUAGUGUAUGUAUAUAUAAAUCAUAUUCUUAAUUAGCACAAUGAAUUAAUCAUUUCAGUAAACAUGAUGGAAAAACUUUGAUACUUAGCACAAAAUUGACAUGACACAGGCUAAGACAUAUAUAGUACUACAGACUAAGACAUAAAUGAGCACGUAGGUCCGGAUAAUCAGCAGGUAUUAACAGGCACGAAAUUGAUUGGCCUUUUAUUCAACUGAAUCUAGUGCAGGCAGACAUGCAUUACUCAAGAAAUAUUGUAUACAGUUCUGAACGAAGUACCACAGGGUAGAAAGAACAUGUCCGCAUGCCUCACUACACAUCCAUGCUACUGUUCUUUGAUGUUCUACUAUGAUGAACAAGCACCAGUAGCAUCAGCUAGACAAAAAAAAAUGAAGAGAAACACAGGAGUAGCAAGCACACCUGGGGAUCUUGAUGACCUGACGUUGAAGUGGUACACAGUCGAACAAGAUCCUAAGUCUGGAGCGGGAGAUCAACCUGGGAAAGGAGCACGUUGCGCCCACACCAGGAUUAGCAGCCUCAAAUCGUCAUCAGUUCGUGGCCGCAACUAUUCUUCACGAGAUCUACAAGAAAUGUGAGGGGAGAAGAGGAGAAACCCUGACGGGUCAGCAAGAUAUAGGCCCUGUUUGUAUACGCUUUUCUGGAACUCGCUUAUCUGACAAGCAAGCUUAUCUGAUAAGCCUGCUGCCUGGAGAAUCUGCUGUCUGAAUAAGCAGGGUGUUUGGCAAUCCUGAUUAUUUUGUGUCGAUUGUCUGUCCAAGUUGGUAAAUUGACCUGAAUGCCCCUAAGACUGAUAAUAGCUCAUUUUUGCUGCUUGCUAUGCUCUAGAUUACACCGUAUGCUAUUCAUCUGGUCAAGAGGCUAUAGCCCCCUUCAGAUUAGCUAGAGUUAACAGAAAGUUGCUAAACUACCCAAACUUGCCAAGUCCAAUUUCAACCAUCCAAACCGAGGCGGCUCUGGCGUCCGGCGGCGGGGGCGGCGCCCAGGCAGUAGGGGCGUCCGGCAGCGGGGCGGCACCCAGGCGGCAGGGGAGUCCGGCGGUGGGGGCGUCCGGCGGCGGGGCGGCGCCUAGGCGGCAGGAGAGUCCGGCGGCGGGGCCGGAUCCCAGGGGGCAGGAGCGUCGAGCGGCGGAGGCGACGCCCAGGCGGCCCGCGGCGGGGGCGUCCGGCGGCGGGGCGGCCCGCGGCGGGGGCCUGGCAGGGGCGGCCGGCGGAGGUAGGGAGGCAGGCCGGGCAACCCGAGUGGCGGCGGCGGGAUCUGCAGCGGCGGCGGUCGCCUGGAGGCGGCGUUGCCCGAGGGUAGCCGGGGGAAAAAUGCUCCGCUUGCCCCAGAAGCGUCUCCAGACCCGCGUAGGAGAUAAGCUGGGUCCUAGUUCAAUUCCAGAUUUUCCACUAAGCGGCUUACGUGACAAGCGGGGAAUAAGCAAGGCAUUUGGGUGGGUUUAUCGCUUAUUUUCACCAAUAAGCGGGAAAUAAGCGACUCCAAAUAGGCCCAUAGGCGGAGGCGGACUCACCUGAUGCGGCGCCGGAGUUGGAGGCGGGUGGUGGCAGCGCAGUCGGCGAUGGAGGAGACGCAGCAGAAGCGAUGGCGGAGGGGAAGAUCUGGUGGUGGCAGCGUUAUUGCUCGCUGCAGACUCGAGGAGGAGAGAACGAGUCGCACGAGACAGGGAAAGUUGCCUGACCUCUGUAGGCCGGGCAUUUUUUCCACGCGGAAACUAGGCUCGAUUGGGCUGGAGUCCCUCGCGUUGCAGGCUUCCAAAUGCGCAAGUUGGAUGCCGCGUGGAAAUUUUCCACAUGGGCUUCCAACGCGGGAAAUGAUCGAGUUUCCUGUGGGGAAGUGGGCUGCCAAAGGAGUCCUGAUUGGGAUAUUUUCAAAAUUCAGAUUUUCACAAAUGACAGUACUAUUUGCUAACAAUGUGGGCCACGGCAAUAAAUUGCAUGGACAACAAGGAGCCAUCGUGACAACCAUUGGAGGACUAAUGAAAAAAAGCUGGUUUGCAUUAAUUAGAUGAUAAGUAGAGUUGUUUUUCUUGGUCAUUGUGUCAAGAUGAAAUAUCCCUAUCAAAAGAGAAUGGAGGGAGUAAUUUGUAAGAUUUGUCUUUUUUUUCUAGAAACCUUGUGAGAGUUAAUGUCAUCCUCAAAGUCCCAUUUUCACCCUUCAAUUAUAGAAGAAGUCUGAUUUUCAACCCACAACUACAAACCCGGACAUGAAGGCACAUCCAGCUGUCAAAAAACCGGGCAAAUUUAACCCUUUGGGUGGUUUCAAGAGUGGUUUUGUAUUUUCUAGAAAUUUUAAAAAAUAGGUUUGACUAAAAAACUUAUAACUAAUUCAUUUCAAAUCAAAAAAAAUAUCCAAUUGGUGCCAAAAAAUUUAUGAAAACAUAAUGAUGUAAACAACUCCAAAUAGAGUACCAACAAAGAGCCUACACUAGGACUAGUAACAAACAUGAAUUAGUUAUGAAUUUUUUAUUAAAUAAAAAAUAAAUUUCUAGGAAAUACAGAAUGACCCUCAAAACCACUCAAAGGGCUAAAUUUUCCUAGUUUUGAUAGUUGGAUGGCCCUCACUCCCUGUCUGAUUUUGUAGUUGUGGGUUUAAAAUCAGAUUUCUGCUAUAGUUGGAGAGUGAAAAUAUAACGUUUCCCUAUUAUUAAUGAAUUAAUAAUAGUAAGGUAUAUCUCAUGAUAUGAGAAACAUCCUCUAUUUCUUAACAGUAAGAUAUCCCAUGAUCUGUAGCCAUUUACAAGCACAAGGGUAAACUAAAACGGCAGAGCUAGCGUCCACUGUCAACACCUAAACUCUUGUUUGCAGCUCAGCCAAAAGCCAACUCGAGCAUGUGCCGUCAAGUAAGACGAACGAACAACCCUUUUCCCUCGCCUGCACGGACGUCCAACAGCUGAGAACGAAGCACCAUACCCUUGGGUCUGUCUCAGUGGCGGAGCCAACCAUGACCCCUAGGGCGCUCUUCUUCUUCCUCCCCCUUCCUCCCUCUUCUUCUUCCUCUUUUCUCCUCAAAAAUGGAAGGGGGAUUUAAGGGAGGCUCCAUUUUUUUUGGGUGGGUAGAGGNNNNNNNNNNNNNNNNNNNNNNNNNNNNNNNNNNNNNNNNNNNNNNNNNNNNNNNNNNNNNNNNNNNNNNNNNNNNNNNNNNNNNNNNNNNNNNNNNNNNAGAGGAUCACAUUGGCCAGUGUGGGGGUCAUAGGGCCCCGUUCGAAUAAGGACGCAGUAAGGGCGUCGGCCAAAAAUAAGAAGCCGCCAUCACUUACGCUGAUUUUUUCCAUUGAGAUAGGGAGAGGUUGGACACUGCCUGAUGUGAGCUUUCUCACGAGACGCUCUUUGAUGUGGCCACCCGUUGGUGCCAUUCCUUCCAUCCUGGCGUUUCAUUCGCCCAGGAUCUUAAAGUACCCACCCAUUCAUCUAAGUUCAUAUCGGAUCGUUUGAAGGGUAUCCGAUCAGUUUCCAAACCUAUAAGAUCAAUCGGAUCUGGGUCUCCCUUAGGACCGAGGCAAAGAAGGCUAGAACUUCUCGUGAGGAGAAUAGUAUUUUUAUCCCCCCCCCCCCCCCCGACCCACCGCUGGUGAUGAGGAUAUUGCCCUCACACACGAGUCAUGGUCUUCUCCAAGUCACAAGUCGUCACCAACUCGGUCGUCGUGUUUAGUUCGGAUUCAGCCGACACCCCUACACAGUUUCAUCCAUAUCUCCCUCAUACGACAUCGAAACGAGGCAUUCUUUGAUGCAUUGGAAAGGGGAUGACGCCGCCGUUCUUUUGGUUCUGGUCCUAUCUCCAGAAGGUUCAUGGAUCAUUCUGUGUGACCAUGAUAAGGUGUUGCGUCACCUAUUUGGGGCAACUUGGCCUUGUACCGUGUCGGGCCUUAAGCCCAUGUUGUGGGCGCCUCCUCCCUAGUCUCCCCCAACCAUAGGAUGCCCCUUUGGGUAUGGUAUAAAACUCAGUAGCCACCACCUUUAGAACUUGGGUUUUGUUUAGUUCUAGUUUUCCAUCGAGAAAUUGAGAUUGAUUCAUUGUCACUGUGGUGACAAAUCCAUUUACAGUGAUCCAGGACCCCUGUUCUUAUUCUCCUCGCCUGUGACGAUUAGUCCGUUUGAAUCGAGAGCUUGAACCCCAUAUUGAUCUUUGCUUCAUCCAUAUUUGCAAUUUCAGAUUGCAUGUUUACCGUUAUCUUGCUUGUGUUCUUCGAUUCGCUUGCAGGGAAAGUCUUUUCAGCGAGGUCAAUCAAGUUGUGCUUGGUUGAUAACCAACGGAGUAGUGGUGUAGCUAUUUUAGGGUUCGAAUCGUGUUUGAUUUGAAGCUGGAUCGUCAACGUCGAGUCUCCACCAAAUCGAGUGUAUCUAUACCUAUCGGAAGAUCGGGCCAGUGCUACAUCAGCUGGCUUCGCCACUGGUCUGUCUGGACAUUUGUGCAAUCACGCGUCCUGCCCGUGACAUUCCGCGUUGUUGCAGCUCGUGCCGGAAGACACUUGAAGGGUUUGUGAACAAGACACUGUUGGAUUUAGGCCCAUGUGUGGCCCAAUCUGAAAAAUUCCAAAGCAUGCACAACCUUUAGUCCCAUAUUGUUGAUUCAAGGAAAGAUUGCUUUGCUUAAAUAUGGGAGUUUUCUCUCUAUGCAAAAUAGGUGUGUAUGAGAGAGAAGGAGACUGUUGCUACACGCACACGUAACUCGCGCGUAUUUUCACAUGAAAAAUCGCGUGACUUGUGAUUUGUGACUUGUGACGAGCGUGACGCGUAUGUGUAUAUCAGGCUAUUAUUUGUGCGGUUUCUAUUUUUUUAUGCUGAGCCUAGCUUCAAUGUGAUUGAAACUGUCGUUUUAAAUAGCAAUAAGAUGCGUCAAUUUCUGCUAUUUGAUUGCAGCAGUUUCUGUCAUUCAAAUGGGCAGUUUCUACUGCUUGAUGAGGGGAAUUUCAUGCGCUAUGAGGCCUAUAACACCAGAAGACGUCCUGGUUGUAAGGCACGAUGUCACACGCUCGCCUCCCCACUUGCGCACUCCAUUUGUGUAGAACCUCUUGUUGUUAUGCCUCGUCGACCUUUGAAUUCUGCGUGCACAAGAUUCGAAGGAAAGCAGGAUUUCCGAAACCACUACCGCGAGACUCCUGCACGGGGCGGCAAUUUGGAUUUUGGCAGCGCCUACACGCAACUGCUUGGUGAUUCUGCAACAUCUACUUCAACACGUUCGACUUCGUUCUGCGCGGGGAUCAUUGAGUAAUUUUUUUGUACAAUCCUGUUCUAGUCAGUAUGUUAUCUGUUUACAUGUGUUAUAUGCUUGCAUCAUUAUUUAUCUAUAUGUUUUUCCUCCAAAUAAAAUUUGGACAGUAAUUUAGGCACAUAUUUUCAACAGAUACAUUUUUUUUUCAAUUUCUCAUAUCGGACAAGUUGAGUUCGAGGAAGAACUGGCCCUGCAAUCCGGACCGUGUGUUGCGCAAUCAAGCCCACAAAACAGCGGUGCAUCUCGUUCUUCAGUGUAUUUUUCCGGUUGACAGUGUACAGCUCGGCUCGUUAUGGAUCGUUAAGGCUCGGCUCGUUUGAUAAUGAGCUGGCUCGGCUCUGCUCGUUAAGGUUGACAGCUAAAAAGUUGAGUUUGGCUUGGUUCAUUAGGAAAAUUCAAGCUGGCUUAUUUGGCUCACGCGCCAAGCAUUAUUCAAACUUAAGAUUUAAAUUAUUCAAUAUUUAUCUUAAUUUCUUUGUUUGUCUCUUUUCCCCUGUACUAUCUUUUCUUAUAUAAUAUAUAACUAGUAGGGAUUCAAAUCCCUCCUGUUUCAUAAAAAUUAAAAAUGAUAUUAACCAGUGUGUGACAAUUUAAAUGUGCUAAUAAUACGUAAAAAGUUUAACUCAGGAUGAUAUUAUGAAAAUAAAUUACAUUAGUCAAGAAAUUGGGAUAAUAUAGAUGUUUGGAGACUUAAAAUAAACUUAAUUAGCACUGUUUGAUUUAAAAAUUGAAUGAGAAGUUUAUUUUACCCAAAUAAUAGUAAUACAACUGUAUUGAUAAGAAAAGGUUUGGUGUUGUCAUCUUUCUUAAGCCUAACGAGCCAAUCCAACAGCCUUCAAGUGGUUCACGAGCUGGCUUGUUAAAAAAAUAAGCUGAAAUUGAGACUUAUCUCGAUUCAUUUAAAUGUCGAGCCGAGCUGAACGGAGCCGAAACUAUGAACAAGCCAAGUCAGCCACAAACAUUGAGCUUUUGUAUCAGCCCUAAUCAUAAGAGCAGAAGGUCGUGGAUGGGUGGCAGAGAGCGCUGCCAAAUUGCCAAAAAAACAAGAUGAGUCAAAACAGCCAUCCUUAUGUACACAGUUUGGAACAUUUGAAAAGAAAGAAAUUGGUGCAUUUUCCAUGAUCGACGGAUGAAUGCAGUUCAGGUGGAGCAAGAGAUUAAGGCAGAGAUAAAAACUUCCCAAGACGGCAUGCGGAGGUCCUGAGCUACCAUGGUUACUAUGUUAUAUGAUUAUUUGUAUAUAUAAGGUUGUGAGAUUAUCCCUUUAUGUAAUAACGCUUAUGUAAGAUUUUGUAUGCUCCUUCUUAAAUGACAUAGCAGUGCUUCUGCAAGCUUUUAAAAUAAAUUACAACAGCUUGUUAACAGUAGCACUCGGAAUUUGUUGAGCAACAUACGUAAAUUAAGCCACUUGCUCAUGGGCCAAUGUGCUCUGCAAAAUCUGCGAGCAAAUGGAGCAACUGUGGCACAACAGGGUAUCUCCUGCUUCCGGUAAAAUGUCAAUUGUUGCUGACACCAUACAGGCAAUGGAAGACCAAGUGCAGGCACAGAUAGGCAAAGAUAGUGCAGGCAUUCAUUCUUUUUAUUUCCAAUCUGAGAUGUGUUUGUACAAUCACGUUCGCGCCUUCGCCCAGUGUAUCUCGGCGGAGCAAAGCGAAUUUGAAUUUGGACAUGGGUCCAUGGCCAUAAUGUUCUUAUCAAGGUUUCAGAAUCAUACUAGACAAAGUAAUUGCUUCAAAAUACCUAUCUAAAAACUUCAGGUCUAGCAGCAGCAUUAACACCUGAUUAAACAUCUGACCGGAAACGGAACCAUUAGAGGCACUAUAUAAAACUAGCAACAUAGCGAAUUAAGAAGGCGCAACUCUGAUCCACAUUUGUGGUAAAUGCAACUACAAAACUGAGCAUGGGACUUUUGUCAUCCAACCAUAGUAAGUUGAGAAUUCUAUCAGGAGGGAAGAUGGUAGCCUAUCCUUUUUGGGACGAUGGCACGCUUUGUUUUGUAUGUGUGGCACUAUGACCAGGGGAGAUUUCCUCAUGAUUUUUUAUAAAUUUUGAGUGGGAUUAGAACUUGAUUUGAAAUCCUAAAAGAUAGAAGAAUCCACAAAAGUUUUUUUUCCCAAAUAAAUGAAUGUCUUUUGAAAGUAUAUGGACCUAGAAGAGAGGGUGGGACAAGUUUAAGUACCGUUAUGUGAAUUUUGAGAGUACCAGGAUCGGGACGAGAACUCUAGACAAGUUUGAGAAUCGAGAUGAUAGCUCGGGACAAGUUUAACGACUUCUGUAGUCUAUGUGCACUUUGAAAAUACCAUGACCGGAAUGAAAACUCAGGACAAGUUGGCCGCCGGUGAAAUUUACUCUAAAACAAAACAUCACUGUUCUUUUUUCCUAUAGAACAAUGGGUGCACACUCGCACUUCUGACGUGCAAUAGAUCACAACUACAAUCAUUCACCAGAUUAGAAGUAACGGCCAAACAGAAAUAUACAGAAAGAGCUAGUUGCAGCAAAGUUUCAACUAUCAAUAUAAGAUGUGUGUACAAAAUAUAGGUACCCCUUGCCCUUUUUUUCUUUUUGUUAAUUAUGUACAGUAUCCCUGAAAAAGAGAGACAACUAGACUUCAUGAGCUUAUAGCCACGAAUGCUCUCAAUAGGCCUGGCGUGUAUAGCGAUGUAUUCACAGUUAAGAGAAUUUACCACACAUGGCACCAUAUGGAGUACACAUAGCUUUACCUAUUACCACCAUAGCACCCACAAGAGACAUCAUCAUGAAUUCUUGAUGUCUGAUGAAAGAACACUGUACCUAUCCACAUGAUCUUCCCUCGACCUGCAAUGUGCCAGGAGUUGGCUCUCAUCCACCUCCCCCGUGAUUGAUAACUGAACACCAUACUCCGAUAAUCUCUUGACAUCCCUCGGAUUGGGGCUUUGCCAUGUACCGUCCCACCACGUAGGCGGUAGGAGCGGGGUCACAGCGCAUUGGUGCGGCUGGUGCCCGCAGCUCAAAGGCCCGGCAUAUGUGUCCCAGAUAUGGCUCCGGCCAACCUGCGUCGAGAGCCCAUGGACCAGCAGGCUACUGUGUAUGCUGCUUAAGAACGUGAAGUUUGCACCUGAAGGCUUCAGGUCUGGUAUAAAAGAUGAAAAUAGAAAAUUGCAGGCUAUGUUAGGGGGAUCUAGCAUCCGGGAAAAUUCCCAGGCAUGGAAAAUUUCAAGAGGUAGAAACACAAGAACAUGUACCAUAUGUGUUAGCUGCAGCCAAUGCUGCAAUAAGUUGUGCAUAGGUUGUCCCCACACGAGGAUGUGCUCCAGUGAUAACUGCGUAUCUGGCACGUGAUGCUAGAAAGAAAUCAACAAUGGCUGCCCACCUUGGAGCUGGCCCCCAGUCUCUUAAACGAAAAUCCAGAGGCUGCAAAUAAAAAGGGUGCAGUUUAAGGUGACAAAGAUGCGCUUCUGUGGACAUGCCAAUUAAAAAGAUACAUAACUCUUCAUAGAAAAAUACUUUAAAUAAAAUUAACGUACAGGCUGAGUUAACUUCACAUGUAAGUGGAAGAAUGGCAUAAUGGGAUCAGAAAACAUAUGCCAUGAAGAUAUCAGAGUGAAAAUAAGCAUAGCACAAACGAGAUCAGCUACCAAAAUCAGUUCAGAAGGGAAUUUGUGCAAUAUGACAAGAAAUAUACUUGAAGUUCAACUGGGAUUGAUCGCUUCAGAAUAAGGAGAAUAAUAUUCUAACACUCUGGAAAAUUCCAGUGAGCAAGUAUCAGAAUUUGCUAGAGAAUGCCAUAAUGAUAAUCCAGGCAUGAGUGUGUGGCGUACCGUAUCAUUUCCAAACAUCCAGUUUGACUUGUUGACAAACAACUCAUAAUCAAAAUAAAUUACCUGCUCAACAAAUAAAAGGAUAAACAUUCAAUCUUCAAUUUUUAGAAAAUUCGACAUCAAUUGAUAAGACAUCUAAUAAUCCUUGGCAUCCACAAUACUUAGAGAAAUCCAAAAUUUAUCCUCUAAACAUUCACCAAAGUGGCUAACCUCAGCAAACUCGCUGAUGUCUGACUUUAUAUCCUGGACAAAUGAUGGUGUGUCUGAUACCAAUGCCACCCGAGGAGUACCCUGAAUAUGGCAGAUCUGUAUGGCUCUCUUUAUACAACUUGCUGCAGCUUGUCUUGCUUCCACUGGCCUGAAUUCACAAUAGUAGUUAUUCUCAACUGUUCAAAUUGUAGAACAUUUGUAUCGGACAGGCCUGCAAACUCUCAAGAUAAAAGUUAAGGUGCAAACAAGUUCAGUCAACACCACUUGUGAUAACAUAACUAAUCCUAGAACAUUUCAAACUAUCUUCUCCGGUCCAUAUAUAGAACAUUCCAUGAUAGUGUGUCACUUGGUAGCAUCCCCAAUGGAGAGGAUCAAAUAUUGAGAUCAAGGGUUUAUGCACUAGGAAAAUAAAGAAAAUGUGUGGCCAUCCUAGGUUCAGUCAACAAUUUAACAUAAAUCUUUUCUCAAUGCCUACUGAAGUACCAGAUGUGUUGGCAAGUAAAUUGUCAUAAUUCACAUGUUAUUGCAUUGCUCUUCUUGUCAAGUGAAUACGGACAAUUUACCAGUAACCUUCAACUUGUUUAAGCAUAUACUAUAAAGUGUUCUAUACCUACUGGACAUCAUGCGCAUGUGCAAAGCAAUAUCUGGAUCGACACCUUUCAAAGCCCAGUUAACUGCUUCCUGGACUGUCCUGGAGGGAGAUACUAUAGCUCGCAAAAGUUCCCCAAAUGUAUUAGGCCUGGCAUGUAAUGAAUCUGGCGAUCCAAAAAGAGCUGAUGCGGCAGCCUUCAUCCCAGGAUGAACAUUCUUCAGAAAAAACUGGGUGCCCACUGAAUCUGUCGUGCCACUAAACCUAAAUUGUGAGAGUCAUAUGAUAUCAGCAUGCUUGUAUUUCAUAAUCAUAUUUUGAAAAAAAAAUGCUGGAUAUGAGAAAGAAAAGCAAUCCCACCUAGCAUAACAUAAAUCAACAUUCAACUGAACACUGAACACGAAAUAUCCAGUAAGUAUCUUUGGGCUUUAGUGUUCGUACCAUAAGCAAAAAAUUCAAAUACUAGAUUUUUGGAAAUUCAGAGUAAUACCCGAUAGAGCAAAAGAGUAGCAGCAUCUUUCGUUAAGUCAUAUGUUCAGGGUAAAUGAAAAGUUUUCUUUUUUCCAAGAAUAAGAAACAAGACCGAAGUAAAAUUUCCAAUAAACAAAAUCUUUCGUCAAUGCAACCAAUUGCCAAAUUGCAGAGUAUCGAGUUUAGAAAUGGAUAAAAGUAAGAACAAAGAAGAUUAAACAGCUCGGUAAGCAGCUUUAUUUGUCUGAGAACUGUCAUUUGAAGUUCUGAUAAUUCCAUGAAUCUCCAUUUCCACAUUUCAAUAAUAUGACUCCUUCUAGGAAACAAAUUUUACAAAUUUCAUAUGCUUUGGUACACAAAAAAUAUAUUUAAAUAGACUUGCCUAGAAACAAGGUGAGACCUAAAUUAGCCUCCAUUUACUGACUGCAUGUACAUUGCUCACUGCUAAGCUCAGGCAGCAUUGUUAAUCAUAGAUCUACAAAAUUCCAAGGAAAAAUCAUAUCUCAAAUAAAGAAUUAAAUGUUGGUUUAGUAUAUGUCCAAAUAGGAAAAAUACAUAAAACGCAUCCAGAAACUGCCAGUAAAUAAAGGAAAUGUAAAAACAUAUGACUAUCUGUUUGUUGAAAGUGUAGUACCUACCGGAUAAUAGGGUCUUUCCAGCUAUUCCAGUCACUGCAUAGAACAUUUGUCUCUGAUGGAUGUUCAAAAUUGUCGACUCUCAUACUCAGAUCUCUACCAUAUUUUGUAGCACAGCAAUGUUUUCUCCAUAAAUGCUUGAUUUCUUCAAGAGUAAACAAAUGGUUUGCAUAAGAAACAUACUGUCCAAAAGGAUAUAGUCCCCUGUGAAUGGAACAGAAAAAAGUCGAAGGAUAUUGAUAAUCAGAUAAUCAGUCACCGCUUUCUAGAUUACACAUUGCAUUUAAUCAUGGCCCUAAAGACAUUACAGGUUAAAAAUUUUACAUAGAACAAAUUUGAAGUAAAUUAUUAAGAACUACAAGCAUAAUCUUGAUAUUAACUUCAGCUUAUUAUGGUUUCAUAAUCAAUGCAAACUCUGUAAUGACACUUAACAAUUAUAACAGGAAAAUAGUAGUAAUGCAUUUUCAUAGAACUAGGUGCUUUUAACCUGUUCGACUAAGUAUCUAAUAUCUAGUCAAACAAAAGGUAGAUGAAAAGUAGCAGAGUAUAAGCGCACAUGCAUGCCUGGUUUGCUCAAUUAUCAGAGAUCGGUUGAACAUGACACUCAGCGCUGCUGCUGUUAGGAUCCUGUACAUUUCAUUGCCAAAGCCAGCUUCAGAUGCUUUCCCCAGCACAAAUCCUUGUUUGCAGAACUCAUGUGGAGGAAGUGUCCGCACUCUUGCAGCUCCUGCCAAUUUAAUUGAAGACAUGAACAUCAGGGAUUGGACUCCAGAACCUGACAAGGAAUUGCAAGUUGCAAAAUGGAUAGGGGGAAAAAAUGACUGGCUAGCUAUACGCUUUGGUUAUAUCAUAGUAGACUCAUGGUUAAAGCAACAUUUCCUAGCUUCAAAGGGGGCAAAAAAAAGUUUGGACUAACAAUUAAUGUUUUAAUUAUUAUCUAAAGGAUCAGAGCGAAUCAUUUGAUGGAAGGACAGUCAAAUUAACAAUUGGCUGGGAUCGACCGGAUCCGAAGAUCAAACAUGCUCUUGAUCUUUUUUUUUUGCCAAGAUCAAAUAUGUAGAAUAUAGGAUUAGCACUGUAUCUGUUACUACUUUACUAAUACAAGGAACAGUUUCACUUAAAAACAAAACAUGGAUUAGGAAAUCGAAGAAAUUGGGAGUGGGAGGUACCCUGCGGCGCAUUGUGGCCAAAUCUUACGCGCGCGCUGUGGUAGCCGUGGAAGCCCGGGCAGAUCUAGACGUGGGCAGGCUCCAGCCCCAGCGGCCAGCUCUAAAUCUCGGAGUGAAUGGUGGGCGGCGAGUGGCGGCAACGCUCAUAGCCACCACUUCGAGCCUGGAGUGCAGGAGCCAGGAGGAGGAGGCGGUGGAGAGGCAGCCAUGGCGGCGAGAGACGGAGAGAGGGACAGAAGAUGAGGAAGAAGACGGAAAGGACGAGUGACAGGGGACUGACUGGUGGGACCAUGGACCGCAAAGGGUUGCAGUGGCAACUUACCAUUUCCCAAAUCCCAAUAAAUCCUGAAUCUCACACUACUUGAAUAAUUCCAAAAAUUUGUUGGAUUAAAGAUUUGACAAUAUACCACAGUCAAAUUUACCAAUUUAUAGUAUCUCCAACUGGUCUCUCAAAUUUGAACCCUAAUUCAUCCUACGAGGAUUUCUCGUCCACAUUACAACCUCCUAUUUUUCUGUGCACUCCAACCGAUCUCGCGCAUGCAUCCUACCUUGCACCCACCUCUAUCUUCAUUAAUAUCUUGUGACUAACAAAUUUAUGAUUUUAUAUGUAAACAGUAUCGUUUGCAAAUAGUAAAAUAAGCAUAUAUUUUUGCAUUGGAAAAUCAAACCAAAUAUUAAUUAAUUUUGAAAAAAGGGCAAUUGCAAUUUCCCUCACAGCUAAAAUCGAGCACGCGGCAGCAAAAUUCUCUCUUCCUAUCUCUACACGGAGCAGCACACCAAUCUCCAUCUCACAGCAGCAAAAUCAAUCCCUUUCUCUACUCACAUCUCCAUACACGAAGCAGCAGCAACAGUAUAUUCUCUCUGGUCCCGUCGAUCUCUCUAGGCGGGCGGCGCACGCAGGGCCUGGGUGGCGGCUCGGCACUUCGGCUGGGUGGGGACGCGACGGCGCAGGCAGGCAGAUCGAGGCAGCGGGCCUGCCGGCGCCCGUGCCGGGACGCGGGUCGAACGAAGCAGGGAGCACCCUGCAAGCACCGGCCGCGCAAGCAUGCGGAUGGGCGGCGGCGGAUCUAUCCGGUUCGACUCUUUCCCCUCUCUUCUACGACUUCUUGUUCUGUACGGAAACGCCGGCGCGGUGGUCGGAGAGGAGGAGGAGGGCGUGCCAUCUCCAUCGACGCGGCUAGCGCGGACAAGUCUGAGGACGCGCGGGAGAAGCAGCCGUUGCCGCCGCAGACCGGAUGUGAGAGUUGAUGAGGAAGAAAUGAGAGACUCUCAUCCGUUGGGGGCCAGAUGAGAAAUGGAGCAUUCACCUAUUCCAUAAAAAGCAUUUUUUUUUUGCAACCAACAAAACUGUAAGAAUAUUAAAGCUAGUCACGAGCAAAGAAAAUUUCAGCUAUGAGAUUGACAUGUGAGAAGACUACUUGACGCAUCUUUCUGACGCCUUUAAGUUUAUUUUUUCUUGAAUUUUCUUGAAACGUAUGAAACCGAUUGCUAUAUCAUGAUCUACGUGUGUGGGUGGAGAUUGAUAUCCUAUUC